CAAACACAAGUCAUAACCAAAAAGUAAAUCAAAACUAAAGUAUUGAAACCAUGAGUUCCAGCUUCAUCUAGCUAACAGAAGCAGCUAGAUUUAGCUGGACAUACUAGCAAACAAACAUAAACAAAUCAUAUUCAAAGACAUAUUUAAAUGUACCAAACUAUUAAGCUAAUAAUGAACUUCUCCUUCUUCCUUGGUGUUGAAAGCCAAUUCCAAACGUUUUCUCCCUCUGGAUUUUGUCUCCAGGAACCCUCCAAGUUGUCCAAAAGUCCCUCAAAGUCGUAAUGAUCAAGAGAAUAUAUAGUUAUCAUAAAAUUCACUCUCACGUCGUGAAUGAGUAUGACUCACGACGUGAAUGCAGUAGAUAUCUGUGUUCUACAAGGAUUCCUCCUCCGCGAUGCUUAUCUUCUGGAAUAGUUCCAUUCACGUCGUGAAUAGUUAUGACUCACGACGUGAAGUUAGCAGAUUACAGGGAUUUCCUCUUCUUUCAUUCUCCAAGCCUCCAAAGUUCCAUGCUUUGUCAAUUUCAGUCAUUUUCUCCCAAAAUACUUCAAUUUGGCUGCAAAGUACAAUUAAAGCUUAUAAGCAUCAUUAUUUAAUGCAAAUAACCAAAAUAUUAAUAAAAAUGUAAGUAAAUAUUGCCCAAAAACAUGUAUAAAUAUGGCAGUAUCACCCUUCUUCACGAUCUCUGUUCAACGCCGCACGUCUGGUCAGUAGUGGAGCUGGCUUUGGCGGUAACAUGUAUGUAACAUAUCGAUACAUCAUACCCACGAACAUAUCAUUCUCGUCGAUAUCAUGAUUAUAUGGAUGAAACGGGUCAAAAGGUUCCAUUUUUUUUUUGUAAAUAGAAAUAUAGAAAAUAUAUUAAACUUGAUAGAAAUGUGUAUUAGAGAGAAUUAGAUAAAUUUUCUAUGUAAAGAUAAGUUAGAAUGUGUGUGUGUGUGUAUAUAUAUAUAUAUAUAUUAAAGUAAUUUUUUUUAUUAUUCGUGACCGUUCCACAUCGGUCAGAAAGUAGACCGUUUAUCCCGUUUCGUCCCGUUAUCACCCACACACCGAAUAUCGUAACGCCAAAAAAACGUGUACCUGGAGGCGGUGUUUGCACCGUUAUACCAACAUUUUUUGAUGUACACGUCGGAUUAACGGGCACUUCGGUUGCCCAUUCCGAGUAGUCUAAAUGUCAAAAUGCAAUGAAGAAAAAGAUUCAUUACAAAUGUCAAUUAUAAGUAUGUAGAAGGAUAAAAUAUAAAAAAGUUAUUAUCUUUUGGGAUAUACACAGUAAAGUCCCAAUAUUUUCAUCGAUUUGACAAGAAAAUCCUGAACUUUAUUUUUUUGACAGUAAAGUCCAAAUUACCGGCAGUUUUUGACACUUUUACAUUUUUUUCCCGAUUAGCCGGUAAUUAGGACUUUUUUGUCAACAAAAUAAAGUUUAGGACUUUCUUGUCAAAUCGUCAAUUAGGACUUUACUGUUAAAAAAAAAAAUAAAGUUUAGGACUUUUUUUGUCAAAUCGUUGAAAAAAUUGAGACUUUAGUGUAUAUAUAAUUUUUUUGGUUAGAAACUUAAUGAUAUGAUACUCUUUACGCAUAAGAGUUAUUGAAACAUUCUCUAAUCAGCUAGAUCAUAUUGAAAUCCUUUACGUUUGCUUCUUGUUAAAUCGUUAUUUUAAUCUCAACAAACUGACAUUGAAAAAAAUUGAGAUAAUCAAGAAAGAAAGAAAGAACCAGGGUUGUGUUGGCUUUUUGCAGUCUCAAAAAUGGAGAAAUUAGAAACCUACAAAAACGAAAAUGCCCUGACUUUUUACAAAUACAAACAACACGUGCCUAGUCAAAAUGGUGUGAAUGUGGAGAAGGGAAAGAAGGACAAUUUCGUUUUUUUCGGUUUCUUAUUUCUCCAUUUUUGGGGUUGCAAAAAGCCAACACAACCCUGGUUCUUUCUUUCUUUCUUGAUUAUCUCAAUUUUUUUCAAUGUCAGUUUGUUGAGAUUAAAAAAACGAUUUAACAAGAAGCAAACAUUAAUGAUUUCAAUAGAAUCUAGCAUAUUAGAGAAUGUUUCAAUAACUCUUAUGCUUAAAGAGUAUCAUACCAUUAAAUUUCUAACCAAAAAAAUUAUAUAUACACUAAAGUCCCAAUAUUUUCAACGAUUUGACAAAAAAAGUCAUAAACUUUAUUUUUUUUGACAGUAAAAUCCUAAUUGACGAUUUGACAAGAAAGUCCUAAACAUUAUUUUUUUUGACAAAAAAGUCAUAAUUACCGGUUAACCAGAAAAAAAUGGUAAAAAUGUCAAAAACUGUUGGUAAUUUGGACUUUACUGUCAAAAAAAUAAAAUUUAAAACUUUUUAUCAAAUCGAUGAAAAUAUUAGGACUUUAUGGUAUAUAUCCCUUAUAACUAAAUAGCAACUAUAAUGUGUGGAGUUUGGUAAAUUCCGCUUGGGUUUGGUCUCUACAACCCAUUCAACCCCAAGGCUAUUCUAGUAAUUUCCCCACUAGAAGGAGCUAGGUUCCGCUGCCUUUUAAGUCUAGGUUUUCACUAUCAUCACUCUCACUCAUCGUUUUGUGGUUUCCUGUGGAGAAGAGCAGCAGAUACUCAACAACUUGCAGGCUCUAUUUUCUCAUCGCCAUCAGGUAUCUGUAGGUGUCCUAAAAUCUACGGUUAGGGUUUUGUUAGCACAGUAAUUCAUGGAAAAUGUUGAAAUCUCACUUGUUACCGUCGAUUCAAUCUUUAUUUUUUAGGAAAAAACAUCGGUUCACCAUAUCGUUAUAAUUGUUAUGAUGAUUUUGGUAUCAUCGAUGAAGUUUUAUGUGUUAUGUUUUCGUUGUAAGCUGGAUGUUUCAGGAUGUUUGAUGAUGUGUGCGAGAAUUUCAUUUUAGGGUUUAUGGUGUAUGUUUGCUUUCUUAAAUAGCGUCUACAUGUUAGCUAAUAUAAAUAGUUACCUUGAUGUUUAUAUAUUGGUUGCCACUCGGCUUCUUCAUCUUUGAAAACAAUGCGAUUAGACCCCCCUUAGGUUUGGAUCUAUGCUUAGAUGUGGAUUGUGUAAUUUUUCUCGUGAAAACUAUUGGAUAAACUUGCUUCGUUUUUUGCACCAUGGAAAGCUUAUUUAUGAUUUAAGCCUGGUUCCAACUUUGUUUGUGGGGUUAAUUUGCUACUUUUAAUGUCUAUAUGUAAAGUAUCAGUUGCUCUCUUUUAGGGUUUAUGUUUAGGUGUCUUAUUACCUCGACAACAAGCAAUGGUGAUGGGAUUAGAUCAUAUGUGAAGUUCUUUUGGGGUGCAUGGAUUAUUGCAUGUGAUGCCCUAUAAUAGUUUUAAUAUAUCAAUGGCUGUAAAUUAUCUGUCCAUAUUAUGCUAUGGUUAUCUGUCUAUUAAACUGUUUUCUUUUUGAACAUGUAAUGUGCAGAAAGAGUGCUUUGAGGAAUGCUGGAUUGAUUGGUCCCAAAUACAAAGAAGAUGAGCAAGAAGAACCCAUUUGUAUACUUGGAUGUGUCUAUAGAUGGAGAUCCUGUUGAAAGGAUGGUUUUUGAGGUCUUUAUUAUAGCUUUAACCUUCUAAGAUCUUUCUUUUAUUCUUUUUUCUGCCAGAUGGCAUUGCCACAUCACUUAUUAUCAAGCUGAAAAACUAAUUCCUUUUAUAUGGUGUUACAGCUAUUCUCAGACACUGUUCCCAAGACUGCUGAGAACUUCCGGGCACUUUGUACUGGUAAAAUGUUCAUCAUAAUUGGUAUUCUUUUUGUCAUAAGUUUAUAAAACUGGAUGCUUUUUUAAAUUUCAGGAGAAAAAGGGAAUAGUCAGAAAACCGGGAAACCCCUACACUACAAAGGAUCCUUCUUUCAUCGCAUAAUCAAAGGAUCCAUGGCUCAGGUAUGUUUUCUAUCAAUUACUUUCAUAAAUUAUAUUGUUUUUUUUUUUUUGUUUUGUUAUUUUAUUUUCCACUUAGUUUCUUCUAGUUCUGGAUGUCUUGGUGGUGGUCUGUCUUUUUAGUCGGCUAUCCUUGUUUAAUCUGUAGGAUACAGGGUUGAUGGUUCCAACUGCUUUUCUUGUGAUGUAGUUUUUAAGGUUGUAAUUAUUUGGUUGUAUUUGUAAUAUCAUCACAUUCAUUCUGAAACAUAUCAUACAAAAUUUACAAAUCCAUCUUUCUGCAAUGAUUUCUGAAUAUAAUUUCUAUAAGUGAAUUAAUUCUUUGUAUUUUUUUUUUGCAGGGUGGGGAUUUUUAUAAACGUGAUGGUAUGUACAUUUUGCCACCAAUUUUUUUUAAUUUUUGUAUACAAAAUCCAUAUCUCAUUGGUUUACUUUUGCAGGAAGUUAUGGAGAAAGCAUAUAUGGAGGGAAGUUUCCAGGUGAGAAAAGUCACUAUGUUCAUUACUUGUGUUUUCUGUUUGAAUGUUGAUGAUCAUAAAUACAUAAUAUGUCUUUAGGUAGUUGAGGAUUUCAUUUAAUUUGUUUAAAAAGUGUAUGCAAAAGAAAUUGAAAUAAACCUUUUAGCUUCUAUCUCCCCAAAAUUUCUAUAUAUGUUUAUAUUUUGAGAGAAUGGGUUUCCUUUUUGAAUUGCCUGUGAAGGUGGGGGCUGACAUUGGUCUUAUUCUCGGUGCAUGGGAGCUCAACCCACAAUGAAAUGGGCAAAUUGUAAUUGUCUUGAAAAAUGGUGGGUGUAUGAAUAUUUUGUGUGCCUUUCUUUCUAGGUUUGAAAUCUUUGGUAAAAUACAAAGUAUUUGGUUUGGAUGAUUUAUGCAGCUAGUUAAGUCUAAUGUAUAAUGUAUGCUUUAUAUUUAUGCCCAAUACAUUGUCAUGAGUUUUUUUAUCUGGCUUUUUUUCCAUGUUAAGUUCCUGGCUACCUUAUUAUUAUUAUUUUGAAUUGGUUAUAAUCAAAAUUUGUUACAUUUCAGAUGAAUCCUCCAAACUGAAACAUGAUGCUCCUGGCCUUCUAACAAUGGCAAUUGCUGAUCGUGAUUCACGUGGCUCUUUAUUUAAUGUGACAUUUGGCGCUAAUCGCCACCUGGAUAGGUUUGCUCAUCUUUGUUGUUACAAUUUUAUGUUGGACAAAUUGAUAGAAAUAGCUACAUACCUUACUUUUGUUAUGGUUACAUAUUGCUAUUAUUGAUAAAAAAAAAGUGUUAAGUAUGUUGCUAUUACGGGUAAAAAAAUAAAUACACUGCAUGUAUUGGUAUUUCCUACAUGUUAUCUUUUUAUAUUUAUCUGAAAAGUUAGAGUUUUAGCAACAUUAACUGUCUAACUUUUGAUGGAAAAGGAAAUUUAAGUGUUGGAAAUGGAAUUUCUUGAACAGGAAGUAUGUUAUUUUUGGAAAGCUUGUUCAAGGACUUGAUGUAUUGAAGAAGAUAGAAAAUGUGGGUGAUGAAGAUGGAAUGCCAACUGUGACAGUGAAGAUCAUUUAUUGUGGGGAAGUAAACGAGAGUGAGAAUCAAAGCUCUGGUAUGGUGGAUAAUUAUUGCAUUUUUAAUGACAUAAUUGUUUGUUUAUUUUUUUAAAAUAAAGUCUCUGUUUUUGAUGUUUUUAUAGAUAAGAAGGCAGCCAGCAAGUUGAAAAGUGGGAAAGAUGUUUCUUCAGAGGUUCACAGCCAUGAAGUGAAGCGGAAGGGAAAGCACAAGAAAUCUUCAAAAGAUAAAAGGAAGAAAAGAAAAAGAUAUUCUUCAUCUGAUUCAGACAGUUCAUCUGACAUGGAAUCUGACUCAUCUGAUUCGGAUAGUGAUUCCGACUCUGAUGAUUCAUCCUCGUCAUCAUCUGAUGUCAGCUCUUCAAGUGAUGACAGGCGUAAGAGAAAAAAGAGAUCCAGAAAGGAUCGACACAAACGUGGAAAAAGAAAGGACAAAAAACGCGAGAAGAAGCGUAGGAGACGCGAUAAGAAAUCCAAACGUAAAUCAAAGAGGUUGGUAUGGUAUUUUAAUUUUAGUUAAACCUUAAAUAAAGUAAUGUUUUAUUCUUUAUAAAAGUUAUUAUAUAUCAUUUUGUAGGGUGUCUGGUAGCGGAAGUGAGAGUUCAAGUGAAAGCGAACAUGCGUCUGAGGACAAUAAUGGUGAUGUCAAAAAGCGAAACCGGAAACAUAAUAAUAGUAAUAAUAAAUCUCCUACAGCUGAAUUUGAAGAUGGUAAAACAGGAGAUGCAUUUGCAUUUGAUGGACAUGUAAAGGAGGAAGAAGGUGAAUACCCGAAAGAAAAUGGUGGGGACCGCCCAAGCAAUGGUGUUGACCUGGCGAAGGCUGAUAUAGUCGAUGACCAUCUCGGAAACUCUAGGUUCAAUCAAAUUUAAUAAAACUUUAUUAUUAUUAUUAUUAUUAAAUUCUUUCUAAUCUUAUUUUUUUUUUACUAAACAGAAGUAGAAGCAAAAGUCCUCCUCGAAGGGAAUUGAGCAAGAGUAUGAGUAUUAGCCCAAGGAGGAGUCAAAGUGUUAGUGGGACCCCUCCUAGACGGGCCCCAUCACGUAGCCCGGUCAGAAGCGAAAGCAGCAGCAAGAGUCCGGUUAGAAGCAUAAGCAGAAGUCCAGUGAGGGGCAAAAACGUCAGAAGCAUAACUCCCUCACCAUCACCUCCACGAAGGAGUGUUUCUAGAAGCCCACUGCGAACAUCGUCUAGAAAAUCCUCACGAAAAUCAGUAAGCAGAAGUCCGGUUAGAUCUUCCAGAAGAAGCUACAGCAGAAGCCCAGUCAGAUCAUCUAAAAGAAGCUUGAGCAGAAGCUCUGGUAGACCGCCUUUAAGAAGAAGCCCUAGCAGGAGUCCGGUCAGACCGCCUAUGAGGGGUGGUCGCCGGAGCUAUUCCAGGAGUCCGGUAGGUGGGCGUAGGGCGGCUAGGUCACCGGAGAGAAGCUUGUCUAGAAGCGCUUCACCUGAUGGCUCUCCCAAACGUAUCAGAAGAGGACGCGGUUUCAGUAACCGAUUUUCUUACGCACGCCGAUACCAUUCUCCCGAUCGCUCCCCGGUCAGAUCUUAUCGCUAUAGAAGUGACCGCGACCGUGACCGUGACCGGUAACAAACUAACAGCUAGCAAUUUUAAAUUAAGUUUUUUAAUAUAUUUAAUAUAAAAACAAUUAAACCAAUAUUUUGGUUUGUAGUUAUUCAAGCUAUAGAAGGCGCAGCCCACUGAGAGACAGAAGUCCACCAAGGUAUUUUGGAGUAAUAAUGGAAUCUUUUUUUUUGGUGAGAAAGUGAUUAUUUGAUUGUUAAAUUCAAUUAUUUACACAGGUACAGAGGGAGAAGAAGCAGGACACGGAGUCCGAGUGUGUCCCGGAGUCCUGUCCCUGUGCGGUACCGCCGGCGCUACAGUCGGAGCCGGUCGCCGGUGGAGACAUCAAGGUACAGGCCAUCACCGCCAGUGGAGAGGAGGAGGGCGCCACGCAGCAGGACCCCGCAUUCUCAAAGUAGGAGCCCGUAUGAACGUAGGUCCUCUCCAUCACCAUCUCCGAGAAGGAGCGUGAAGUCAAAGUCAAAGUCAAAAUCGCCAUCGAGAUCAAGGUCAAUGUCGAGGUCAAGAUCUAGGUCGUCUUCUGGAAGCCCACCUGGGAAGAAAGGACUGGUGUCGUAUGGAGAUGGUUCUCCAGACAGUCAGAAGUGAGAAGAGAAGAGAAAGAUCUUACUUUUGAGGGUGAAAUGAUUUAUAGACUUGGUAAUUGGUACACUAUGUAGGGUGGGUGUGUUUUGAAUAAUUUGACUAUUUCUCUUGUAUUUCUUUCUUCUUCUGUGGAGUGACUGUUGAGGUGCUGCUAGACUAGUAACGAUGAUUGGAUAUGUGUUUGUUUUUAAGAGGUUGGUUAGACUGAGGGGAAUGGGACCGAGUAUCAAUUAUGUUAUGUUUUAAAAAGCCUCUUCUGUUUUUAUCUUUAUUGUUAUGGUUUGCUCUUUGAUCAGUGCGACUUGAAGGUAGUUUGUGCAUUUAUAUAUGUAUUAACAUAAUCUUGUGUGCUUGAAUUGAUACAUUAUAUUAUAAUCUUUUCAAAGAAUAAGCUAACAAGUUAAAAGGAGGGUCAUCAAGAUGUAUUGAAUUAUUAAGUAGAUUGAGAGAAGAUUAUUUACCAUCUCUUUAAGACCGGUAAUAAUUGCGACAUAUGUAUUGUAUUUAGUUAUUUAUUAUUUAUUAACCGAUAAAAUUGGAAUAAGUUACCUAAAAUUUAGGGGAAAAUAUGAUUAAUUACGUAAGUUCAGGGGGUAUUUUGGUUUACGGCAACAGCAGGCGACGUGUAGAAGAAGAAUCUCGGGAACCCUAGCAGAGGUUUGUUUCUCAAUCCUACGCCGCUACGACCAUUGCCGCUUUCUCCACUCCACGAUGAUAACAAAGAAACAUCCGUCGCCGUUUCUCAAUCCAACGGUAAUAUGAUUUACUUGUUCGUUAUUAUUUGAAUCUAUUAAACACAAGAUAUAAGCCGAAGCAUUUUGAUUGAAAUAAGACAGUAACCAAUAAAUACUAAAAGCCAAUCUCUUUUCUGUAGCUUGGUAACAUUUGUAUUACUAAUAAAUGAUGAAUGUAUUAUUGAUUGUACUUGGGUUUUUGAUUGACAGGGUAACAUUAAUGAUAUUGAUCGUAAUGUUCUAUGCAAUGUGUUACACAUCAAACAAUGCUCCAAAGCCUCCCAAUAUAUGGUGAAGUUUACAAAGCAAAGGCAUUGGAAUCAUCAAACAAGUAUGUCUCUACCUUUUAUAAGCUUCUUCAUUUUCAGUAACAUUAUAGGAAUUAGACACUCUUUCUUUGUCACCACUGCAUUUGUGAUGGCAUUGGCAGCUGGUAAGCUUUGGGACACCAUUUCUGAAUGCAUCUCCCAAAUUCAAUCUGAUUGUGAUGAUGAAGCUAAAGAGAGGGCACUUCAAACCCUAGUUUCCAUCACAAAAGCAAGCCCUCCACACAGAAAUUUAGUCAUGCAGAAUCAGGAAGCCAUCCCCGCUCUCCUCUCCCUGCUCAAAUCCUCCUCCCGUGCUCUUGAAAGACUCUCACUUUCCAUCCUCUUCAACCUCUCAUUAAACCCUAAUCUCAAAUCCACCCUUGCUGACAUGGCAACCAUUCAACACCUCAAUACUGUGAUCCUGUCUCGUGGGUCACUCGAGUCUAGCAAACUAGCAGCUUCUUUGAUAUGCAGCCUGGCAAUGCUAGACAAGAAUAAAGCAGUGUUUGGGGUAGCGAAUACUAUUCAAGCAUUGUUGAAGGGAGUUUCAAGGCCUAAUAGUCCUGUGACACAUCACCUUCUCAGCUCACUUGCUGAGUUGGUGCACUUCCAUGGGAAUUGCACAUUGGCUGUUAGAUCAGGUGCAGUUGGUGUUCUCCUGAGAAUAGUUGAGAACAAAGACAGUGAAGAUCUUUGUGGGACUGCUCUUAGUAUUCUUGGGCUUCUUGCUAAGUUUGAUGAAGGGCUAAAAGCUUUGACAAAUACACCUAGUAUUGUGAGUAGAAUGCUUGAUGUGUUGAAAGGUAGGUCCAUGUUGAAUAAUGAAGGUGCAGCCGAGGUACUUCUUCGUGUUUUUGAUGAGAGUGAAGAAUGCUUGAGAGAUGCUAUCGGAUUGCCUGAUUUCAUGUAUACAUUAGCUGAGCUCUCGGUGAGAGGAUCAACGAGAGCUCGGGAGAAAGCUUCUCUACUGUUGAGAAAACUUGAGGCUAAUGAAUCAUAUGUAGAUGAUGAUCUGGUGUUCUUGAAAUGGUAAGGUAGGAUGCGUGUCUUAAGAAAAGUAACAUAAUAAGAGCUUUUGUUUGUUUUGUAGCACAUGAGUGUGCACAUUAUUAGGUCCUCUUUGAAGGUUUAGGUAAUGAAUAGAUGGGUUUGGUGUUAAAAAAGGCAUGGAGUUUAUAGGAUUGAAGCCAUGACUCACAAAACUACGAACUACAUAAAAAAUGAAUUUGAGAGUUACAUAAAGCCAUAAAGUUAAAUUUAUAAAGAAAGCAUAACUAUCUUGCAUCCAAAUACAACAACAACAACAAAUAAACCCAAAUCCCAUAAAGUCUUGUGAGGUAAGUGGGAGGUUUGAUGUAGGUGGUCUUAGUGUCUUGCCUCCACCCGUGGGUAGAGAGGCUACCUCUAUAGGAGACUUUCGCCAUGAUCAAGGAUGCACCAUACAUGAGCAAAUAAAAGCAAUAUACAAUUAAAUAUACUAAUACUAGAAAUAGUACUAAUUGUAAAAAUGAAAUAACAUAAGACGAUAAAUACUUAAAUGCCUAAAUGAUAAUACAAGAAACAAAACUUAUGCUACUACACUAACCUAAUUCUCCGUCUCCACUCCUACCUAUGUGAGGUCUGUAGAAGGUGCCAACUCCUUCGUGUCUAACCUCACACUAUAGUUACGUUGCGUCCUCGGUCGACCUCUCCUCUUCGCCUUACCGUAGAUGUGACGCCUCGAUCCAUUGAGUACCGUCAUCUAUCCUUAGUACACUUUAUUUUAAAUACAACUAAGAUAAUACCUUAGAUUUCAUCUUCAUCAUGGUUUAACAAAAUUACAUAAGCAAAAGUGCAUAAAAGAAAAACUAUUUUAACCGUUUAUAAUUCAUCCAAAAUUUCUGUUAAAACACUAACUACUUGUGGUCCUUCUUCUUUCCUGAGAUACAUACAUGAAUACAUAAGCUUUAAGUUUAGUGAGUAUUUUGGUUUUAAUAUUUAGCAUAAACAUUUGAUGGAAAAAUAACAAUUAAAUGCUUGAAAACAUUAAUUUGAGAUCUUAUAGCUACAUGUAAGUAGGCCCAACUUCUGGGAGGUUUGCUAACCUUGGGAUUCAUAUAAGGCUGUCCCAUAAGGUCCGUUUUUAAGACGUCCCUUCAUCCCAUACCCAAUGCGUUGGGUUACUUGGGUAUUUAAAUGACCGUACUUAACAUGAAUAAAACUUUCAUGCUAACUUCAUAAUAUGUUGUUAAAUGUCUUUGAAAAAUCAUUUGAGCAAGUGAACAUGGCAAAUAAUUUAAAUGCAUUGAACAUAUACGUAGCAUGUAUGUAUCCCAUUAAAUCACAUAAAUAUACUCACCUUUCUUUGAGCUUUUAGGCUUCUUUUUAAUCUUUUAAGUCACCACCAAGCUUGAUAGUGUAUUCUAGGAUGAAAAAAAAUGCUUAACUUCACUUGCUAUGUCUAGUAAAAUUGUGUGCAUUGCUUGCUUGUUCUUUAGGCCUAAAACAUAGUACAUUGUUGAUGAGAUGAUUACACCUAGUGUACUUGUUGUACCUCAUCUCCUUAGAAGCUUACACCUCAAGCCUCUAGCUCUUCUAUGUCAUCUUCCAGCUUAGCUUAAUCUCCUUAGAAGCUUACACCUCAAGCCUCUAGCUCUUCCAUGCCAUCUUCUAGCUUAGCUUAAUCACUCAAAAUCUAGGCAACGCUUAUCUCUACUUGUAUAUGCUAGCUUGGUUACUACUUUUAGCCUUGAUUUGUCAUGCUAAGCUUUGGUUUACUUGUAGCUGGUGUUGUGGUACUUGUAAGCAUAUGGUAAGCUACUUGUGUGCUUGCUUAUUUUCAACUUUUCUUUUUACAUAAAAUUUGCAACAUUCUUCUAUAACAACUAUUCUUAAAGUGUCCCUUAUGUUCUUUUAUAUUACAAGGGUGUUAUGGUAGAUGAUUGCCUCCUCUUGACAUAUCUAAACCACUAAAAUCUUUCUUUCCUCGAAUUUUCGGUGGUUCACGCAACUCCUAACUUAUUUAUGAUUAUAGCAUUCAGUAUUUUCUCCAACAUUGUUGUAAAGCAUAAACACUGAAGGAUCCUCAUUUCAGAAAUUUCCAUCUUCCUCUCAUGCUCUUUUUUUUCCGGCUAACAUUUGAAGCAACUACCACCUUGUAUCUUGCAUCCAAAUGAUGCCAAUGGUUGUUUUAAAACAAUUUUGGCUAAGGGUGUAGACUAGACAAAGCAAAGUAGAAGGAGAAACGAGGUUUAUUGGGUAGGGUUUAACAUGGACUAGGCUUAUAUAGACCACACUUUUAUCAUGUUAGAUAGUAGAUAGUUUUUUAUAAUGAUUUCUUAUGCAUCUUUAGCGUGGUCGUACAAUUAUGAAUAUUUAUAAUAGUUGGAUAAAUUUAUAAAAUAUGAAAGUGUUGUGGCAAAAUCUAGAGAUUUGAAACAUGUGAACCUACAUGUUUUAGACAUGACACUUUAGUGUCUUGUUUAGGGACCUAUUCCGUGUAAAUGCAUGUAAUUAUCACAUGAAGCUUGCAAAUUGAACUUAUUUUACUAAAUAUUAGGUGUAGACUACCAGGAAAGAAAUUUAAAGCCCAAAUUUGCUUGCCUUUUCUUUCAUUUCCUUUAUCGUGAGUUCGUGACCUUUCCCCUUUAUUGUGCCCUCGACAAUCGACAUAGGACAUCGCCGAGUGGUGCGUUUGCUAUCGUAUCUUUCGAUUGCACCUCAACUACACCUAAAACAACAAGAAUUUGUUUAUCGCAUUGAUAUUAAGGUAUCUUUUUCGAAUACUUAACCUUUAGAUCUAGUUUGAUCCCAAAUCGAUUAUUCCAAAAUUUUACUUGUAAUGCUUUAGUUAGGUAAAUUAUUUUGCAACCGGAAAGAAUUGGCUAGGGUUGUUUGGAAUAAAUGUUUGUGUGCUUCCGAUUACGCUAUCAAUAUUUCUUUACAUUUUUGUUAAUAGGAUUAAUGUCAAUGAACUUAACUUGUAUAUGGAAUGUCAUAAUUAUGAUUUCCAUUCCAUGAUAAACAAUGUUAGGGCCUUAUUAAUGAGAUAAUUCUUUAAUUAAGGUAGUUAUUUAAUUACUUAGAAGCAGUGAUGAUAGUUUGUUAAGCUUUGGUGUCAUGGAUGGUGUCACUUAGAUCAUGAGAGAGAUAGAGAGAAGGGAAGGGGGGGGGGGGGAUCUUAUGGGCCAUCAUUUGUACCCAUCUAGUAGAAUGACGAGAGAGUCGAGUUCCAUAGGUCUUGGAUAUUUCUUCCAUUUCAUAGUGGAUGAUAGUGGGUAUCUUACUAUGAUUUCCUUCUUUGUAUCUCCAAAUUAGCAAAGGGUUUAAAGGCAUUUAGCUACAACUCAUUGCCUUAUUGUGGUUGUAAAUAAUAUGUCCAUCUUUUUGCACAUGUUAUGCUUUUUUCGUAAUCUAGUGGGAAAUUGUGUUAGAUCUUUUGAUAUCCUCGUUUAUAUAGAGGGACACGUUUGAGAACAUGAACCAUAAAUUUUGGAUAUAAUGAUAUUAACUAUGUUGAGACAUCUUUUUGGUUUUAAGAUGAAUUUUGGUUUUACUCCCACCAUUAUCCCAUUUUCUUUGGUUUUUCCUCUCAUUUUUGGACCAUUGACUCUAGUCGUAGUCAAAUCUCAUCUUUACCAUUUUAUAUGGACCUUGUUGCUCAAACCUCAUCUUUAAUAUCGCUAUGCGGCGGUGUUUGGGAUUGCUUUUCAAAACAACCUAUUGACUUAUUGGCUUUUUGAAAAGCCAAUAAGUCAAAAAUAAUGUUUGGCAAACUCAAAAGCAUUUUUCAAAAUAACUUUUCCAUUAGCUUCAAAAAGGAGAUUUCAAAAAGCAGGUAAAACUUGGCUUUUUGAAACUCCUUUUAGCUUUUUAAUCAUAAUAGCUUCAAAAAAGAGAUUUUAAGCCUAACAUUUUUUUUAAACUUAUUGCCUUAUUGGAUUUUGCCAUCUCAAAAGCUAAUCCAAACACUUUUUUAAGUCAAUAAGCACUUUUUCCCAACAACACUUUUGGAAUUCAAAAAGCAGUCCCAAACACCCCCUUGUUCCAACCAUGUGUUGUCAAUGCACCAAGAUCUUCAGUUUUGAUCUGAGCCUUGGCCUACAUUAGUGCUGGCUUUGACUAUUAAGUUCUACCUGAGUUGGGUGUCACUAGCAUUUUCUCAAGAGAUUACUUGAUCUUUCAUUAUUCUACCUUGGUGUCUUUUAGCAGAGCAUCAGAGUUUUCUCUAUUGAGUCAAGAAAUUCUAAACCUUUUAUAUUGCUGGUCGCCUAUAGAUGUUUUUUCCAAUCCAUGACUUGUAAACUACGGCGUUCUCUGUUCUUAUAGAUUUGGUCCUUGAAUUUUAUGCAAGAAAUAUUUUAUAAUGCUUAUUUAAAAAAGAAAAAACUAAUGUAAUGCAAUGUUUAGAAGAGGAAGAAUGAGCAUGGUGGGAGAUUGGAUUUGUGGGUCAUGCAAUCACUUAAACUUUUACUGGAGAGAAUCAUGCAGGAGAUGCAAAGAGCCACGAUCCCAAGACAUGAAUGCAGCUGUGAGUGCGGGCCCCAGGGUGUUUGCUUUUAGGCCCGGGGAUUGGUUCUGUGAUGUUGGGAUUUGUCAGGCUCACAACUUUGCAAGCCGAAGAUUCUGUUUCAAAUGUGGUGUAAUUAAAAGCAUACCAUCUUUUGGUCCUACUGUAGGACUAGGAUACUACCCUACCCUUCCCCUUCCCCCUCCCCCUCCUCCUUUCUUGAGUUUCAGUUUCAUGAAUCCCAGAAUCAGCCAACGAGGCUGGAAGCCUGGCGACUGGUUUUGUGGCAGGGGGUUUUUUUUUUAAUUUUUUUUUUUUUUUUUUUUUUUUUAUUUUAAAUAUUUUUUUUUUUUUUAAAUAUANUUUAUCUUUUUUCAUAUUUUUUUUUUUUUUUUUUUUUUUAAUUAAGGUCAUAAUCAUUAUUCAUUAAUACUAGUUGAUUCUCAUUCAUAUAAUCAUAUGAUAUGAUAUAGGCCUGGCUGUAAUGCACACAACUACGCUUCCCGAAUGAUAUGUUUCAAGUGCAAGUCUUCUAGGGAAUUGGUUACCAAUGUUUCUAAUUGAUUCCUUCCUUGCAUUCCGAAUUCUGGUAAAGAUUUUUGUUUUUUUUUUUCUUAUGAAUGUGUGUGUAAUUUAUGUCAUGUUUUUCAGGUCCUAUGGUUAUGCUAUCACCUCUGUUAGGAGAGAGGGAGAGUCAGAGUUGUUGUUUUUUCGUUCAGAUCUUGUUAUAUCUUAUGUGUUUCUUUUUAUUUCUGUUGGUUGCAUUGCAAUGGAGUUUGAAUCUGGUAUGAAGUUUACAUGAAUUAAUGAAGGAUGUAAUUAUAAGUGGUUUCUUCAGUUUGAAUGUGAUGAUUAUGGAUGGAUGGAUGGAGUUAUAAGAUUUUUGUGGCAAUUUGGUUGGAUCAUAUGUGUAGUUGUAAGAAAAGUUCAUUCAACUGGGUUGUUGAGUUUCAUACACAUUCAUUUGCAAAUGGUAAUUUGACAAGGAUUUUUUUUAAUAUAGCUGAUUUUGGAAAUUUUGGUCUUCAAAUGAUUUUUUUGUUUUUUGUUUUUGUUUGUUUGUUUGUUUUUUUUUUUUUUUUUUUUUUUUUUUUUUUUUUUUUUUUUUGUUUGUUUGUUUGUAAUGGUCUAUGUUCCAAAUAAAAUGACUUUUUUUUUUGUUUCCUAAGUUAUACCUGAUUUUUGCAGUUUUAUCACAAAAAUAGUCAUUUUCUUGGUACGAGGACCAAAAUCAUUAAAAAGAGGAUCAAAAUUGCAAAAAAAAAACUCACCUCAAAAUUGCAAAAGAAAACUCACAGACCAAAAUUACAAUUCAAAAUUACAAAAAGAGGACAUACUACCUAAUUCAUUGAUGAUUAAAGUGGGACAUUGUUUAGUCGUAUUCAAUAAUAUAUAGAAGUAGGAUCGGGUGAUGACUUGAAAAAUAGUGAGGAUUGCGAUGACAAAUCUUGGAUGUUUGUUGGUUUAAAUGGGUGGUUGAGAUAAAUCAAAAUUAAUAAAUAAACAAAAAAAAAAUCGUCCAAUGACAUUUUUGUAAAUAAAAUCAAGUUAGGAUCACUUUCCAAUUAAAGGGCAAUGUCUGGGGGUCAUAACUGUCAAAGGAAAUAAUAAAAUUUUGUUGCUGAAAUGAACUCCACGCACAAAAGGUGCGUCGCCAACUCUAUGGAUCUUACUCUUGAACACGUUUCGCCACCAGGUUUACUUGGGUUUAUUUAUUUAUUUUUAUUUUUCAUGGAUCUUACUCUCGUAUGAACUUGUAUAAGUAGUCCCCGGAAAUGUAUUGACCUGAACUUCAUGAAUAUGGCUUCGUAAUCUGGUUUGGAUGGGUUCUAACGGGAAAAAAACAGGUCUUGAACAAGCUGUUGUUUCGAGUUAAAAUCUGAAAAUUUAACCUAGUUGUUUAAUUAUAUGUUUAAGGUGAAUAUCCCUAUUUAAUCUUGAUUGUUAUUCUUAGGAGUUUUGAAAGGUGACCGGGUGCGAAUGGGUUCUGGUUUCAGUUGGAGGUUUACUCUACUACUUGAGGUGAGUUUCUCACUACACUGUGUAAUGUUGUGCAUUCUUUGCUUUAGCUCGUGUGUGUUAUAGUAUGUUUAUACGGGUAACACUAGAUUGGGUUAGUAUCUAGUGGGAGUAUGUUAUUUGUUCAUGUAUUGAAGAAUAUGUAUAGAAGGGAUCGACGUAUCCGAGCAGAGGAUCGGGCAUAGCCAGUGUGUCCCAAGGGGUCGACGAAUUGAGCAAGGGGGAUCGGGCAUGACCAAUGUGUCCCAAUGGGUUCGGGUGAUCGGGCUUAUCCAAUGUGCCCCAAUGGCUCGAUGUAUCGAGCAAAGGGGAUCAGACAUAACUAAUGUGUCCUAGUAGGUGUAUGUUGUUAUUGAUUCGCUCUUUGACAUGCAUACGUGUUUGUGUGGUUGAUAUUGUUGUUAUAUGUGUAUUAAGGGUAGAGCUUGUAUGAUAUAGACAUAUAGUAUUGUGUAUGUGUGAAAUCCCCUAAGCUUUGUGCUAUUCCCUUUUCCCUUAAAAAAAUACCAUUUCAGGAUUAACAUGUACUUAGGAUGGCAGGGUGUGAUAGUACACACCGGCUCAGUACGGAUUGAUGAAGUUUUCAUAUUACCUUGGAUUAUGUUUCUUUGAUUUUGGAAUUUAUAAUUAACAAAUGGUUUUUGAAAUUUAUUGAUCUUGGGAUUAUGGUUUUAAAACUUAUUUUGAAAAAAAGUCAUGGUUUUGAAUAUACUUAUAUUGUUUUUAGAAGUUCAAAUUUAUUGUAAAUUUUAGGAUGUUACACAAUUGUAUUGGAUUGAGUGCGAAAUUUGAAAAUCCAAUUGGAUUACUUGAAGGCAAUGUUACUUUGUUAGUCUUAUUUAGCAUAAUUGUGUGCGGUUUUAUUUUUAGUUAUCGUAGUUAUAUUUGGUUAUUCGAUAGAAAGAGAUUAGAAUUGGUUGGAUAAUGGAUAACUACUGAAUUAAACCAAUAAAAAAAUAUCCAAUAGAUAGAAUCGAUCUAAUCCAACAUCCAAUUGGAUCGAUUUGGUUUGAUUUUUUUAUGAUGAAUUGGAUUGGACCGGUUGACAAAUCCAACAUCUAAUGGAUGAUUAGAUUGGAUUGGUUCCAUCGAAAUCCAUUGGAUUUGAACCGCUGAUCACCCAUAAUUUGGUUAUUAUGUUUUUUUCAAUCAGCUGCUGGAACAUGAUGGUUCUAAAAACAUUUUGCAAAAAGGUAAGAAUCAGCCAUAAAGUCACAUUACCUUUCAUUGUUGAUGGUUGUGGAAUGUGAACUACUUUUUAUUAAAUUAUAAAUUAUCUAAGGAUGAAACUGCAUUUCCUUUCUUCAUAUCACUAUAACACAUUACAUUAUUUUUGUAUGUUUUUAUAACAUCAAAUCUUUGUUGUGAAACAAGGUUUAUUAUUAACAUGAGUUGGUUUGAGCUUUAACAAAAUUUUAAGAUAAUUAACUAUUUCAUACAAAUGAUUGUUCCAUGGAUUAUAUCAUUAUUAUUAUUAUUAUUAUUAUUAUUAUUAUCAUUAUAAAUCUUAUAAUAGAAGUCACUUGUGACAUAUAUCCUUAUUAUUAUCAUUAUCAUCAUUAUAAAUCUUAUAAUAGAAGUCACUUAUGACGCGGUUCAAGAUAACUCCCUAUAUUGAAGUGCAAAUAAUAAAGAUACGAAUGAUGGAUGUUACGUAAUAAGAUUAUAAUUUGAAAUAGUAUGCUAGAAAGUAACAUGACAAACAAAUCCUGAAACCGUAAACAACAAACAUACAAAAGCCAGUUUGGUAUCAAGAACAAGGUUGGACCGAAACCGUAAACAACAAACAUACAAAAGCCAGUUUGGUCCAAAACCCGAAACCCGAUUUAGUACCCGGAACUGGACCGGACCGAACCCCGACCCGCUACACCUAAAAACGGUCCAGUUCUCGGGUAAGGUAAUUCAUGGUUUUCGGUCUUCAGGCUGGUCCGGUUCGGGUUCUGCUCGUUGCUCUAUAUUGAACCAUAUUAAUUUGAAACUACGAAAACUCUUCGGCUUAUAUUUUAAGUUUCUAUUUGGUGUGUUAGCUGAAAAAACUAGUUUUUAACUUAUAAGCUAGUUUAUCCAUAAACUAUCUCGGAUAACUUAGACAAAACUGCAAAAUUGGUCCUUGUGGUAUGCAUUUUUUCUGAGGUUUAAUCCAAACCUCGAUUUUUUUGGAUUGGUGGUCCUUUUUGGUCCCUUGAAAAAUUGAAAAGACUAAAAUGCCCUUCUGAACAGUUUAUAUGUUAUUUUCUAUUUAAUUUAAAAUUAUAUUAAUUAAAAAUAUAGGGCCCACCUCUUUCUUUCUUUCUUUCUUUCUCUCUCUCUCUCUCUCUCUCUCUAUAUAUAUAUAUAGCCAUUUGGGUUUGUCUUUGACAAACAUCUAAUAACAUCUUCAUAAAUUCAAGAACACUCAAGAACAUCUUAUGCCAUCACCACCAUUCGACCACCGUCCUCCACCACCACUGUCUGCCACCUCCAUCUCCACCUGAACUUUUUAUACCACUUUAUAUCCGCCUAAAAUCAUCCCAAAAACAAAAAUCAUACACAAAAUAUGGGUUUGUUCUUGAGUUUCCCCUUAAAAAUAAUCACUAGAUCUGAUGCCUCAUCAAGAGCUCAUGAACACACACACCCACCCACAUUCAAGAACACAUUCAUGAACCCCAUAUCUGAUGAGCACACAAACACAAACACACAUUAUAUCAGAUCUGAUGAAGGGUUUUUGGAUGAACACAUUCAAGAACAAAUUUUUGAACCCUAGAUAUAAGGAACACACGAACAAAAUCAGAUCGAGUUCAUGGGUUCUCGGGUUCUUCAUCCAAAAAACAAAGAUCUAAAACCAAAACGAACAUUUGACCCCUCAGUGGCAGAUUUCUUCGUCCCCAUCUUCCAAAAACCCAUAUUGUAUGUGUGUAUUUUGUGACAUCCCCGAUUUCACGGCCACAAAAGACCGAUUUGAUUAUGAUUAUUUAAAUCAGAAUAUUCUUUUCAAAAGAGUAAUAAUGUGGAAUUUGUUCCAAAAAAUAUGACAAUAUCAUUAUUAAAGCAUUUCCGAGGAAAUGUAUUUCAUUUAUAUUUAAAAACCUUGGGAUGUCAUGGUCAAUACAACAACAUAAGCAUAAAACGUAAUAUUACAGGCCUUACAAUAGUUUAUUAUUCUAUUGGCCUAUUCUCCUUUAAAUCUCACUCCAAAUUUAAACUCAUCACACCUAUGCUCUUACGCUGCUACCUGUGAAACAAAGAAACUGAGUGGGUUAGGCUUCGGAAAGCCUGAUGAGCACAUAGGGUUUUCAACCCACAAUAAUUAAAUUUAUUAAUUUCAUCAAUCAAUCAACUCGGUUAUCCGUUCCCGUUAUCCUCACUUUUUGUCCCUAAAACAUCUAAAUUAAGGGACUUAGCCUAAGGAUUUUUCAUCGGGGUGACAGCACUGCAUAGGGGAUUCCUCAACAAUAUAUGUUAAAAGGCAACCAUAGGGGAAUGGAGUACAUCUGGUGAACAUUUAGUUCAAAAACACCUACAUGUUUCGAGCCUACCACCGUUCCACUAGACUGUCUAGAAUAGUUUGUGGUCGUCAUCUAUACUCCGCUAGAUGACUGGAUCAUCUUAAACACUCUAGGCCUAUCAUUAUUUAUUUUAUCAUCUAUAUCAUCUACCCAUCUUUACCCUUUAUAUUUAUAGGUACAAAAUACAUACAUAGUUUAAAUCGAAUAAAACAUGUAUAUUUUGUUCAUCCAACAUACAUAUCAAGAACACAGAUAAUAUACACACAUAACACGUAAUUUUUAUUAAAUACUUCAUAUUUAUGUAUAAGAUGAAAAUAACUAUGCACUCACUUGACUAGUUAGUGGUUACUAACUAUGUUCUUAAUCGUCGUUAUAUCACACUUUCUUUAUUUAUGACUCCUUGCUCGAAAAUUCUGAACUCUAAUUUCAAAAUUUCUGGCCCUUCUUUAUAUCGAGUAUAUCUUUGGCUAUUAUUGUUUUCUAUCAUAAGAAUUGCUCAAAGGAUACCUCUAUUUAUAUAAAGGAUUUUUGAAUCGCCCGUACAAUAUCAAAAGAUUAGUCACCCAAAAAAAUUACACGUAUAACUUCAAUAAAUUAGAUGUGUACGAACAUACUUGAAAGGUUAACACAUAUUCUUCUGAUAUUGACUCUAAAUUAGAAGGUGUAUUAUUACUUCUCUUUUGUCAACACAUAUCAUUUUAAUUAAUAAAAUAUGUACGACAUGUAUUAUAUUUCUUACAGGUAUGUUGGUUUGCAAUUUACAAAUCAAUUAUAGUUACAUUUAUGGUCCAUAAGUUAUUAUUGUAUUAACACAAUAUAUCAUUCAAGUUACACUGUAGUCCCUCAGCUGCAUGGAGCCCCUAAUAAGAAUAAAGAACAAGUAAGAGACGAUCACCCACUUAUUUGUUUGGAUCGGUCCGAUCCAAUCAAAUUAAGUAAAUUCAACUUAAUUCCGGUUUACAAAACAUUGAUUCAAAUAGUUCAAACUAAAUUCAAAUUCGGUAUGAAUUAAUCAAAUUACAAUUCGAUUUUCAAGAGUCGGAAUGUUUUAAAAUAGUUAUAAUUUGAAUAUUAGCUGACUUUAUAAAAGAAAUAUAAUCAAAUGGUUAGUUGUAAAUUAAAAUUUAUAAACUGUUAAGGAAAAUAUAUUUUGAUUCAUUAGAUAAAAAAAUCUUGAAAAAAAAAUACAUAUUAAGGUUUUUAUUAGGAGAGUGUUUCUAACCUAUUUAAAAAACAAUUCAGUAAAUUAAUAAAUAAUUAAAAGUAUAUAUUAAAAAUUAAAAUAUAUAUAUCUAUUCUAAUAAAUGAAAGUGUUUUUUGUCACAUGUUACACUCUCACUCAAUUUAUCAAAUGUCAUUUUGUGGUUAUUUUGAAUUAAUUUAUUUUUCCAAAUGUCAUGUUAUGUUUUUUUUUUUAUUUUAAUAAAGUUCACAUAAUAUUUAAAUGUAAUAAUUACAAUAAAUUUAGUAAUAAAUAAAUAUAAAUUUCAUUAAUGGAUAAAAAAAUCAAUUUUAAAAGAUAAAAAAAAUCAAUUUUUAUAAUUCAUUAUUUUUUUUUUAUAAAUUCAAAGUUCUUAAAUAUUUAGACAUUUAUAAUUAAUUUUUUUGAUUAACUCAUAUAAUCCAUGAGUCUUAUAGUUUACAAAAUAUUUAUCAAAUAAAGAUAUACUUGCAUGCUGUAAGAUAAUUUUUUUUACUAAUUUACCACCCCGGCCUUUCUAACAAUAAUUUGUAUUAUAUAAAAGACAAUGUUUUCUAAAUAAAUAAAAGAUAUUAGUUUAUUUUAUAUAUAGACAACCACAUAUCAUUUCCAUAUAUAACAUGAUGGUUGUUCAGAUCCGUGAUUAUUUAAUUUAAACUAUUAAAUAUGUAUUUUAUGAGUCGGUGAUUUCUAACACUAUUAAAAAAAGGGACAUUGUAACGAAACUAAAAGGCCGAGUUUCCUGUAAGCAGCUGACUGAAGCCAGACAGUCAAGCCAAGCUGAUUCUCCCCGCUCUCGACCAAAAUCUAUUACUAUUUUCAUCAUCACCGACACCCUCCCCCUCUCUUUUCUUAACAAAUCAAUACAAAUGAUUAAUAUGCAGUAAUCAUCGAAAGUGAGAUCAAGAAUGGGCCCUUUUCUUCUCACGCCAAUGCCCAUCAAACUUCAUUGAUUAUCAAGUUCCUUCAAAUUCAAAUCAAGAACGAAAAAAUCAAUUUCUAUCAUCUGGGGCUCUUCUUUAGUCCCCUGUUUCUACUUUAAUUGGAAUACAUGGAGGCAAAUGCAGGAUUAGUUGCCGGAUCUCAUAAGAGGAACGAGUUGGUGAGAAUAAGACAUGAUUCCGAUGGAGGGGUAUGUGUUCUUUCGAUUUUUCUUGAAUACCCUUUUGGAUUUUGAGUGUUCAGAAAUCAAUUUUAUCGACUCUUGUAUAGAUCUAAGUGAUUUAACAGUAGGCUAUUUUGUUUAACCCAAGUUUGUUUAUUUUGUUUGGAUCUGAGUGAUCAGUGUGACCAGUGAGCUCAGUAAUGAGUGAUGAUACGACUUUUGACUUAUUAAUCCUACCUUUUUGUUAAAUCUUCAAAGAGGGUUUUUUGUUAAAUUUGUGGAUUUAGAUCUGAAUCAUCGAGAUGAAAGUUUCUGUUUUCAGCGCCCAUCUUGAUUAAUUUGACAAAAUUUUCAGCUUUAGCACAUGAUGAUUUCUUAAAUUAUUUAAUUUUGAUUGUGACGUUGAGUGUUGAUGAUGCAGCCGAAGCCUUUAAAGAAUAUGAAUGGACAGAUAUGUCAAAUCUGUGGCGACACCGUCGGCCUGACUGAAAACGGCGACGUUUUUGUUGCUUGCAACGAGUGCGCAUUCCCGGUUUGUAGACCCUGCUACGAGUACGAAAGAAGAGACGGAAAUCAAGCAUGCCCUCAAUGCAAAACUCGAUACAAAAGACACAAAGGUUAGUUUUUGAGUUUUUGUUCGUAUCAAGAACACAUCAAACAUAUGAUUUUUGUAAGAAUUAAAGAGAGAUACAAAUGUUUUUAGGGAGUCCCCGAGUUGACGGUGAUGAUGACGAGGACGAUGUUGAUGACCUGGAAAACGAGUUUGAUUAUGCACAAGGGAGACGACAAUGGCAAGGAGAAGAUCCGGAUCUUUCUUCAUCUUCUAGAAGACAUGAAUCACAGCAACCAGUUCCCCUUCUCACUAAUGGCCAACAAGUAAGAAAAUUACUUAUAUACCCUUUUGUUCUAAGCAUUACCUUUUUAACUAAAUUCAGAGUGUUAUUUUCAGGUAUCUGGUGAAAUCCCAAUUGCCACACCGGACAAUCUAUCUGUAAGAAGUACAUCGGGUCCAUUAGGCCCUGGUGACAAGCCUGUCCGCUAUAUGGAUCCAAGACAACCAGGUUACUUUCUUUUUUUUUUUUUUUUUUUUUAAAAAAAAAGUAUUAUUAUUAAUCAGAUAAUGUUGUAGUAAUUAUGCUAAUGAUGCCCUUUUAAUAAAUAGUUCCUGUAAGAAUUGUGGACCCAUCAAAGGAUUUAAAUUCAUAUGGGCUUGGGAAUGUGGACUGGAAGGAAAGGGUAGAAGGCUGGAAACUAAAACAAGACAAAAACAUAAUGCAAAUGGCAAACAGAUACAAUGGCGGUGAAGGGAGAGGAGGUGAGAUUGAAGGCACGGGAUCAAAUGGAGAAGAAUUGCAACUGUAAGUAGUAAACUAAAGGGUACUUUAGGAAUAUCAUAUUUGUCGACUUAUGAUUUGACUUUUUUUUUUUUUUUUUUUUUUUUUUUUUUUUANUUUGUUUUGUUUUUUUUUUUUUUUUUUUUUUUUUUUUUUUUUUUUUUUUUAAAUAUAUAUAGGGUUGAUGAUCCAAGACAAUUAAUGAGCCGUGUGGUGCCUAUUUCAUCUUCUCAUUUGACUCCAUAUCGAGUUGUGAUUAUAUUGCGAUUGAUUAUUUUGGGAUUUUUCUUGCAAUAUCGGUUGACUCAUCCUGUUAAUGAUGCGUAUCCUUUGUGGCUUGUAUCUGUUAUUUGUGAGGUGUGGUUUGCUUUUUCUUGGCUUCUUGAUCAAUUUCCAAAAUGGUCCCCCGUUGAACGUGAGACCUUCCUUGAUCGCCUUGCAUUGAGGUAAGUAAGUAAUGGGAUUUAGAUUUUGGGCUAAUUGCAAGAAAUAGCAAUGUACUUUCAUUUGUAGUCAUCAUCAUGGGCAAUUAGGUAAUUUUAGCUUAAACAAUGAAAAUUUGUUGUUUUGUAGGUUUGAUAGGGAAGGAGAGCCUUCACAAUUGGCACCUAUAGAUGUCUUUGUGAGUACAGUGGAUCCAUUAAAAGAGCCUCCUCUCAUCACUGCAAACACAGUGUUGUCUAUUCUUGCUGUGGAGUAUCCUGUUGACAAAGUCUCCUGCUAUGUAUCUGAUGAUGGAUCUGCUAUGCUUACAUUUGAGUCUCUUUCUGAGACAGCAGAGUUUGCAAAAAAGUGGGUCCCAUUCUGCAAGAAGCAUAGCAUCGAGCCCAGAGCCCCUGAGUUUUAUUUUGCUCAAAAGAUAGAUUACUUGAAGGACAAGAUCCAGCCUUCUUUCGUCAAAGAACGUAGAGCAAUGAAGGUGAGUUUUACCACUUUUAUGUUUUAUGUUUUAUGAUUUCUUCCAGUGUUUUACCAAAUACCUAAAACACCCUUUUAUGGCAGAGAGAAUACGAAGAAUUCAAAGUUCGGGUCAAUGCACUUGUAGCAAAAGCACAAAAGAUGCCGGAAGAAGGCUGGUCUAUGCAGGAUGGAACUCCUUGGCCUGGAAACAACCCCCGUGAUCAUCCUGGAAUGAUUCAGGUAUUUGAAUGAUUGUUUGGUUGCUGAAAAUUUGUAUAUCAACAGUUGAUUGUUGACUUCUCUUGUUUAUGAUGAUUGGAAUUGGAUAGGUGUUCUUGGGGCACAGUGGAGGUUGCGAUACAGAUGGAAAUGAGCUACCUCGUCUUGUUUACGUGUCCCGUGAAAAACGUCCUGGGUUUCAACAUCACAAGAAAGCCGGUGCCAUGAAUGCUUUGGUAUGGAUCUCUUAAAAAAACAUGGAAAUUUUUUGUGUUUAUUGGUUGUUUAUGGAUGCGAUGCAAUUUGGUGUUACAGAUUAGGGUUUCGGCGGUUUUGACGAAUGGCGCGUACCUUUUGAACGUCGAUUGUGAUCACUACUUCAACAACAGCAAAGCUCUAAAAGAAGCCAUGUGUUUCAUGAUGGAUCCUGCCUAUGGAAAGAAGACAUGCUAUGUUCAAUUCCCACAGAGAUUCGACGGGAUUGAUUUACACGAUCGAUAUGCUAAUCGCAAUAUCGUCUUCUUCGAUGUGCUUUUCUGAACUUUACAGAGUCAAACUUAAAAAAAAAAAUUCAAAUUCAAAUUCCGAUCUUGUUGGGAUUUCAAAAAUCAAAAAUUGACAUUUCUAUAUAUAUAUAUUUUGUACAGAUUAACUUGAAAGGGCUGGAUGGGAUUCAGGGGCCGGUUUACGUGGGAACUGGUUGCUGUUUCAAUCGACGAGCUCUGUAUGGAUACGACCCUGUUUUAACAGAGGCUGAUUUAGAACCAAAUAUCAUUGUGAAAAGCUGUUGUGGUUCACGAAAGAAGUCGAGAAACGUUAACAAGAAGUACGUGGAUAAAAAAGCAGUGAUGAAAAGAACGGAAUCCAACACUCCAAUUUUAAACAUGGAUGAUAUCGAUGAGGGUGUUGAAGGUUUGAUUUUGAGUCUUUCACUUUAGUUUGUGGGUCCAGUGAAUCAUUAAUGUUGACUAAAUUCUUUUGUUUUUGAAAGGGUAUGAUGAAGAUAGAUCGUUACUAAUAUCGCAAAAGAGCUUAGAGAAGCGAUUUGGUCAAUCUCCUGUAUUUGUUGCUGCAACUUUCAUGGAGAUGGGAGGAAUUCCCCCCACUACCAAUCCAGCUACCCUUUUGAAGGAAGCAAUACAUGUUAUUAGCUGUGGUUAUGAGGAUAAAACCGAGUGGGGUAAAGAGGUAAUUUUACCCUUCUAGCUUCCGAUUCUUGUUAUACAUGGUCAUCGGAAAAACAAUAAUCUUCAUGUUAUUUUGUUUUGUGUACAAAUGCAAGCAGAUUGGAUGGAUUUAUGGGUCUGUGACAGAAGAUAUUUUAACUGGAUUCAAGAUGCACACAAGAGGAUGGAUCUCAAUAUAUUGCAUGCCACAACGUCCGGCUUUCAAGGGUUCUGCUCCGAUCAAUCUUUCCGAUCGUCUGAACCAGGUCCUCCGGUGGGCUUUAGGUUCAAUCGAGAUUUUACUCAGUAGACAUUGCCCCAUCUGGUAUGGGUAUAAUGGUAAAUUAAAACUCCUGGAGAGGCUCGCAUACAUAAACACCAUCGUCUAUCCCCUCACCUCCAUCCCUCUUCUAGCCUACUGUGUACUUCCGGCCGUCUGCCUUCUCACCGGAAAAUUCAUCAUCCCCGAGGUACGUUAAUCAUGCUUUAUGAGUUGUACGAUAUGCAUGAAUGUUUGUACAUGUUGAAAAUUGGGGGUUUUGCAACAGAUAAGCAACUAUGCUAGUAUGUGGUUUAUUCUUCUCUUUAUCUCCAUCGCUGCAACCGGAAUCUUGGAGCUCCGGUGGAGUGGCGUGAGUAUUGAAGACUGGUGGAGAAACGAACAGUUUUGGGUGAUAGGAGGCACGUCCGCUCAUCUAUUCGCCGUCUUCCAAGGUCUUCUCAAAGUUCUCGCCGGAAUCGACACCAAUUUCACCGUCACAUCCAAGGCAAACGACGAAGACGGUGAUUUUGCAGAACUCUAUAUAUUCAAAUGGACGGCGCUCCUCAUCCCACCCACCAGUGUUCUGAUCGUAAACCUAAUCGGCAUAGUUUCCGGCGUUUCAUCUGCAAUCAACAGCGGUUACCAGUCGUGGGGCCCACUUUUUGGGAAACUGUUUUUUGCAAUCUGGGUUAUCGUCCAUUUAUACCCGUUUCUCAAAGGUCUGUUGGGUCGGCAAAAUCGAACCCCCACCAUUGUUAUCGUGUGGUCGAUUCUGCUUGCUUCGAUUUUCUCCCUUUUGUGGGUUCGUAUCGACCCCUUUACCACAGACGAUACUCUUGAUGCAGUUAAAGGACAAUGCGGGAUCGAUUGUUAGGUAUAUAUAUAUAAAGUUUCUGAUUUGCAAAUUUGUGUAAGCCGUGAUGUGAUGCGAUGUGAUGUGUACGAAUGAUAUAAUUAUUUGAUUUAUUGUUGUUAUCCCACGAAUUCAAUGAAAAAUUUAAGUAUAACCUUAUCUUAAUAUGUCGGUUCAUUACAUUCAAUUAAGUUGAGUUGUAUGCAAAUUUCUUGUUAUUAUACAGUAUAUUACAAAAUUCAAACACUAUCUUCUUCAUAUUUAAUUUCAUGAAUUUAGUCUUCAACAAGUACAUAUAUAUAAAACAAAACAUGAAAUUCCAUACACACCAAGGUUCAUGUCAGAUCCUGAAACAAAAGAUUAAAGAAAAUAAAGUUAGAUGGUUGUAAAUUGUAACCUAAUGAAAUAUAAGAAAAGUUGGGGUUUUACUUACUCAAUAUAUUCAACGUUGAUUUUCUCCCUUUGAGACUUGGAAAUGGCAGAAAAAGCAUCAUUUGACAAAACAAUAGUCGAAGGACACGGCCUUUUGGAACAAAAAUCUACCACCUUAACAUCAAUGGUACCAUCUCUACAUGGUUUAUUAUUUCCACUCAAACACUUGAGUCUGUAUCGCCUACCACAUGCUGCACCGUUAUCCCAUAGUCCUUCGCUCACUGACACAAAUAAGUUCCCCAAUGGGAAUUGAUCUGCUCGGUUGCCAUUGCACCUUGUGGCUACAUUAAAAAUACAUAUAAAAAAAAAUACUUCAAUUUAACUAUUAUUUAUUUAUUUAUUUACAAUGUCAAAAACAUAAUAAUUAGAAUCAUAUUUAAACUUACGUGUAUAAGGAGGCUCAUAGGAUGAGGCAGUGCCAAUUUCACUCAAACCACACUUGAUGUUAUUGAAGAUUAACAAUAAAAAUAAAUUCACAAUCACUCCAAUUCCCAUCGCUACAAAUUCCCUUUUCUUUUUUCUCUCUCUCUGUCAAAUACUAUGGUAGUAAGAUGCACCCCCUUGGAUUAUAUAUAGAUAUCGUAUGGAUUUAUUUAAAAGAUAUAGGUAUAGUUUGAGAUAUAUUGUCACGUGUUUUUUAAUAGAAAUGUGCUUAGCAUGUAUAUAGAAUGAAUGAAAAGUUGGUGAUCAAAUUGGAUAAACUAUAGAUGUUUAAUGUGAUAUAUAUCUACCUUUGCGCAUGAAAAAUGGAUUUAAUAGGUUUUGGUCAAUUGUGAUAUAAAGUUCUUGAUGCCUACCACUAAUUAGUUUAAGGAAAGAUGGUUUCUAACGUAAACAUAAAACAACUUUUCUAUCGUCUCUUUUAAACAGAAAAAAUAGUCAAUUUUGACAAUGGCACAAAAAGGCAAUGGAAAAGCAUAUGUAAGGAUUAUUAGAUAAAACGAUAGUGUUUUAAUGGAGAAAAAUUAUAUUUUCGGUGAAUUUUUUUUAGUUGAUAAACCCAUUGUUGGUGUCGAAUCUAUGAAAUUAUUUUGGCUUAUACGUCGGCUGACCGAUAUGAUUACCAAAGAAAGGUGCAUCCAGUACAAUCACCACUAACUAAAACCAAUGGCUCUAAACUGUUCGCAAUUUUUUAAGGAAGGGAAAUUCAUAUUUGAAUUCGUCACUACAAAGUGUUACAUGAUUCGUUAUUAAUAAAUAUUUUAUAUUACCUUUUAUCAUAUAAAUAAACAAUCCAAAUUUUAUUUUUAGAUGCAUAUUUCACAAAGCUUUUGUGUUUUUUUCGGUUCAAGUUUGUGUUAAAGUAAUUCAAUAUAGAUGGAGAAUGUCGUUCAAUAAAAGUAGUUUGUGUUAAAGUAAUUCUAUACAGAUGGAAAAUGAUGUUCAAUAAAAGUUUAGAAUAUCAGAUAAUCAAAAUUAGUUUGUCGAUAAGAUUUAUUAUUUUAAAAGAUGGGAUAUAUAUACUAAACUCUCAAUAUUUUUAACGAUUCAACAAAAAAGUCUUAAAUUUUAUUUUUUUAGAGUAAAAUCCUAACUAGCGGCAGUUUUUGACAUGUUUACCAUUUUUUGCCAGUUAGCCAGUAAUUAUGGUUUUACUAUAAAAAAAUAAAAUUUAUGACUUUCUUUUUCAAAUCGUGAAUUAAGACAUUACUGUAAAAAAAAAUUAAAGUUUAGGACUUUCUUAUCAAAUCGUUAAAAAUAUAGGGACUUUAGUGUAUAUAUCCAUUUUUUUGUUAGAAAUUUAAUGUCAUUAUAAUCUUUAAGUAUAAGAGUUAUUGAAAUCUGACCAAUAUGCUCUGGUCAACUAGAUUCUAUUAAAAUCAUUAACGUUUGAUUCUUGUUAAAUAGUUUUUUUUUAAUCUCAACAAAUCGACAUUGAAAAAAAUAAAGAUAAUCAAGAAAGAAAGAACCACGAUUGUGUUGAAUUUUUGCAUAAUGAUAAUCAAGAAAGAAAGAACCAGUAUCGUGUUGAGUUUUUUGCAAUCCUAAAAAUGGAGAAUUAAGAAACCGGAAAAGAAGAAAUUGUCCUUCUUACACAUUCUCCACAUUCACACAUUUUUUACCGGACAUGUGUUGUUUGUGUUUGUUGAAUUUGUUCCUCUUUUCAGUUCAAGAUUUGACGGCGAACCAAGAAAAAAGUUUUACAAGUCUUCUUACCCUCUAUCGUUCUCUCUUUUGCAUCAGUUUCCCAGAUUGUGAUCGUAGCAAAGUAAGAUGAUGAUGGUAAGAAAAAACAAUGGUGUUGCAAUAAAAAUCACAAUUAAAAGUUCUUGGGAUAGGAAUUAGGUCUCAUGAGACUGAUAAAAUUAUUUGUUUCUAGGGAAACCAAACCUAUACACUAAAGUCUCAAUAUUUUUAACGAUUUAACAAAAAAGUCAUAAACUUUAUUUUUUUGACAGUAAAACCCUAAUUACCGGCUAACCGGCAAAAAAGAGUAAAUGUUUCAAAAACUGUCGAUAAUUAGGAUUUUACUGUCAAUUGAUUUUAAUAUUUUCAUGCAAAAGACAACUGUAUUACGAAAGAAAUAACUGUUAACCGUAACUACAAUAAGGUAUUAAAGUUAUAGAAGUUUCAAUCCUAAUAACGCAUAAUUUUCACUUUUGGUUUAAUAUGUUUAUAUUAUUUAUCUAAAAAACAAAAUCAUAAUAAAUAUAUUUUGAUUAAAUGUCACAGAAAAACCACGCCCAUGUCAAUUUUGAUUGUUACAAAAUGACAAUUUUUUUGAAAAGAGAUAUCAUACCGUAUUAAUAAGGUGGUGUUUGUUUUUUUUUCAAAAGCUCUUCUAGACCUUUUAUGUCUGCAUCGCGUAGACGACCCACAAACUUUUAGUCCUAUAGACUGUUUGUUUUUUAGAAGACCGUACGCAUAAAAAAAUCUGUCCAUCCUCUUCUUGACGUAGAUGUGAACAUAUGUCUUCUAGUCUCUUUCUUAAUCUUUCCACUAAUCUUAAGAGACAAUAAAAAAGCGCAAAAAGAAUAAAAAAAUGAAAAAAAAAACCUAUCAAACCUCAUUCGUGCACCUUUUUUUUUAAUUCAUUUGCCAUGUAAACACUUUGUAAAUAUAUUAUUUUAAUGAUUUUAGCUUUAUAAACUUUAUUUGGUCAAAUAAUUUUUUGGUAUUCAUAUUUUAAAAAACUUUAUGCAUAUUUAUCCGAUGACUUUUUAUAACAGUAAUUAAAAAAGUUAAAUAUACUACAAAACUUAUGAAAGUAUUUUACGAACGUGUUUUUUUUCUUCAUAAAAUGGACAAUUAAUUUGUUAUAUAUAUAUAUAUAUGCUUAUUAUAUGAUAACUAGGCUCGUGCGUGUGAACAAGUCUCCGUUUGCCACCUAGCACGGUAUCUNNNNNNNNNNNNNNNNNNNNNNNNNNNNNNNNNNNNNNNNNNNNNNNNNNNNNNNNNNNNNNNNNNNNNNNNNNNNNNNNNNNNNNNNNNNNNNNNNNNNNNNNNNNNNNNNNNNNAUAUAUAUAUAUAUAUUGAAAAUAAGGUGGUUGUAUUAUUAAAUUACAAUGUUUUUAUAUAAGAAAUAUUGAAAAAGUCUUUUAAAUUAAAAAAAAAAUCAAUUUAUUUAGGUUUUAAUUUAUUUUAGCAGUUUGUAGAUUUUAAAAAACAAACAGUCUUCUUGCAGACUGCAGACGUUUGGUCCAUAUCUUCUACUGCAGAUGUCGUCCGCAGACUGCAGACAUUUUGCUUCUGAAAAACAAACACCAUCUAAGUUUCAAACGCAUAAACAUUUAUUAACAAAAGACAUGUAAACGUGGAUUAUGAACUAAUGACAUAGAUAUACGAUAAGUACUAUAAAGAGGAAAAAGCAUAGUUAAGAUUGACCCAAAUUGUAAUGAUUAUAGUCUUGCUAAUGUAAAUAUUUAAUUAGUUUUUCUUGAUAAUCAUGAUAAAUGAUACUUUUUGACUCAUGAGUGAUGAAUAAACAAUAGUAUAUAUAGAUUUACUAAGACGAAAAAAGACAUGAGUUUUAAUGAUAGAAUAUUAUUGAAAAAAUAAUAAAGAAUAUGAUCAACUUUAAAUUAGUGCCCGGAUAAAAUCGAAGUUUUAGAAAGUGCUGAUUAGUGGCGAUCCUUCAUUUUUUUAUAACUUUAUUUCAAAUUAAUGGUAAUCAUGUAUAAUAAUUAAUAAACUUACAAUACGCUAAUAUACAUUACAAUCAUUUUCAUCCUAUGUGAAAAUAAUUUUUGACAUAUUAUUCGUUUUCAAAUUAUAUAGAUGCAUAGGCAAUAAUAUGUCUUUUAUGUGAAAUAAUGUGUGUUUUUUUUAUGUGAAAACAUGUUUUUUAUAUAUAAAAAUAUAUUUUCACAUAAAAAAAACCUGUUAUGCAAAAAACCUUUUGGACCAAAUUUAUAUAGAAACAUAUUUUUCACAUAUAAAAACCUUUUUAUAACAAAAAUGUUUUGUAAAAAAGGUUUUUAGUAUAAAUAUGAUUUUAUAAAGCAAAAAUAACAUAUUUCGAAACAAAAUUUUGGAAAAAUAUAUGUAAAAAAAACAAAAUUUAAGAUGAAAUUGUAACAAAAUUUUAAAAUAGGGACAAAAAUAUAAAAAUUGGACCAAAUUUAUAACAAAAUUUAAAAUCUGAGAAAAAAAUGUAAAUUUUAAAACUGGGAUGACCUUAUAGCCGGGAAAAAUGAUGAAAAUGAAUAUAUUUACCUGUAUUCGUAUCUUAAUUAAAAAAAUAAUAAUUUAAAUACUUAAUUGAAUAUAAGGUUAAAAAUAUAAACACUUUAUAGAUUUUCCUAUACUAAAUACUAUAGCAAAAUAUGUGGAAUUUGGUAUUUAGUAACUUUGGUCUCACUUUUGUUAAAUUUCUAUUUUCUAUCAUUUUACUUUUUGAAAAUUCGUUUUUACCUCUCGAUUUUUCUACUUAUUAACUUUGGUCCAUCACUUUUGUUAAGUUCUCAAAUUUUCAUCCUUUUUACUUUUGAAAUUGUUGCUUUUACCCCCUUUAACUUUCAACUUUCUAGAUACUCAACUCACUCAGCAUGAAGUAUAAGAAAAAAGAGAAGAGAGAGAGAGAGAGAGAGAGAGGAAGCAGCGGGCUGAAGAACCCACAUGAGACGUCUUCUGGCGGUAACCACCAAGGCGUGGAUUUGUUACCCUAGCCGUCGCACGACUCCGUGCACCCUUGGAGAGUAAUCAGUGUUAAAACACUAAGUUGCUUGAAAUAAGGAAUUUGAAGUUAAAUUGAAAAUUUAAAUGUAGAUACGAAAACACAUCAUCUUGCUAACUUGACAACUUAACGCCAUCUUAAGUGGAUACCAUAGAAUGACCCACGAGUGGCGAAUUUAAAAAAAGAAUCACAUGGUUCCUAAUUAAGUGAAGCCAAUAAAAAAAAUCAACAAUACUUUUGGAGUCGGGUCAGGUCGGCUCAUGUACCUUAAAAGAACUGAACAAGUUCAAUCGGCUCAUGUACCUUGUAACGACCCGUCUCUGGUAUGUUGUUUCCAUGUUAUUUAUUUAGAAGUUUUCAAGAGGGACUCGGGGAGUCUAUAGCCCGACUCGUCGAGUAGAGACGGGAUUUCGAGCACGUGUAAGUCGCCGACUCAACGAGUCCAUAUUCGAGACUCGGCGAGUCCGCCUGCUAGGAAGAAACCCUAAAUCCCCGGGUUUGCUCACUAUUUAAGCAAUGUUAUGUGCCCCAAACUCGCCUCCUUCACCCUCAGAGAGCUUGAGAGAAACCCUAAACCAUUCCUUGUAUGACUAAAGUGUUUUGUGUGGAUUCUUGAAGGAAAAAGAAGAAAGGACCCAAAAAGAGGAAGUGUAGAGCAAAGAUCCAAGGCCAAAGUCAGAGUUCAUUGAGGUAUGUCUCGGAAUUAUUCUGUUUUGUGCUUAAAACCUCCAUUAGAACACCUCUAAGGCUAGUUUAAUGUAUUUUCCAAGCUUUAUAGUUGUAUGGAUGCCUUGUUGGGUCGAGAUAUCCCUAGAUCUGUUCAUUUAGGAGUUUUAGAGCCCUGAUCUAGUGCCUUUUCGAAGUUUCUUUGCUUGAGAACCCUAGAUCUAGCCUUUAUUAUGCUUUUUGAGCCUUUUAAUCUUCAUGGGUGCAUAUGGGCACGUAAAGAUAGAAUCUUUACGUGUUAAUCGAGCUUAGGGAGCCCAGAUCUAUAAGUUUUAUGCGUUGGAUUCAAGCAGAAUCGAGUUUAUAGUAGCUGCAUGCAUGCGACUCGGCGAGUCGUUCUUCCGACUCGGUGAGUCGAGUCGUGAGUCCCCGAUUUUUCCUCUUUUGAGUAAUGCCGAGUGGGGACCAGUGAGUAGUAGAGUGGACUUAGUGAGCUGGAGGUCAGACUCAGUAAUGGAGGGACUCGACGAGUUGUUCAUACAACUCGGCGAGUCCAAGGCAAUCUUCUUAGCUCAAGAACAACUCGUCGAGUUGUUCAUACGACUCGGCGAGUCGGAUGCAGAUAGCUUGAGUUCUAGAAUCGAAAGGAAACUCGUCGAGUUUAUGCCAUACUCGACGAGUAGCAGCGAGUAGGGUUGAGAAGUGAGAAUAGGGACUAGGCGAGUUGGCGGCCCAACUCGGCGAGUCAGGUCAACUGUAGGUUGACUUUGACCAGGAGAGUUGACUUUGACCAGGGGUAAAAGAAUCAUUUUACCCCAAUACAGUGAUUAGUAUUUGAUUGAGUGUGUUUAUGGAAUUGUAGCCGGAGAGAUACCAGAGCAGCAGCAGAUAGCUUCCAGAGCCAUACAUUCAGCAGCCAGUUUACGAGGUGAGUUUCCUACCAGUAGGAACGGGUCUACGACAACAAUGCCGGCCCGUUUAGCUAGCAGUUAGUUCCGGACUUCGGUCCGAAGCAGUAGUUCAAGGUGCUUGAUGUUGUGUUUCGGGCAUGUCUAUGUGUUAUGUUAGCAGAUACGUGUUUAUGUUAUGCUAUGUUCAGACAGUUCCGGAUUUCGGUCCGAUGCAGCUAGUUCCGGACUCCGGUCCGAUGCAGGGGACAAGGUCCCAGUCAGUUCCGGAUUUCGGUCCGAUGCAGACAGUUUCGGACUUCGGUCCGAUGCAGUCAAUUCCAGACUUCGGUCCGAUGCAGUGGGCAAGGCCCAGUAUGUGCUUUAUUUGUUAUUGUGUGGUAUGCGGUAGUUUAGGGGAGCUCACUAAGCUUCGUGCUUACAGUUUCAGUUUUGGUUUCAGGUACUUCCGCAAGUAAAGGGAAGAACUCGGGAUGAUGCAUCGCACACACCACAACUUCAGUUUUUGUCGUGGGAGUUGAUUCAGUUUCUUAGAUAUGUUUUGAUACUGUUGUGACACAUUUUUUCUCACAGUAUUUUAUUAUGUGAUACUCAGUUUUAUGAUCUUUGUUAUAAUAUAAAUGAAAUUAUCGGGUCGUAUUUUUGGGAUGUUUCAAGUACCUUGUGCCACCGAUUAAAAAAAUUUUAAAAACCGAUUGAAAUAUAACUGAAAAAGACAUACAGCUUAACGAAAAACUAGUUGAUUAUUAGUCCAUUGAUAAAGCGGCGAACGCAGAGUGAGAGUCUUUGGCAUGUGGGCUUUCAUUUUAUUAGAACAACUUGUUUAUUUAUUAAUAUUUUGAGAGUGCCGAUUAAGAGUAGUUAACUUUUUAUUAUCAAUCUCAUAAUUUAAAAUAACAAAUUGUCCCUAAUAACUUAUAUUUUUCUCUUUUUAAAGUGGUUUUUUUUUUUAAAAAUAAAAAUAAAAAUAAACUCAAUGUAGGUUCUCUAUUUUUUUAAGACUAAAUUACACAGAUGGUCCCUGUGGUUGGCACGAGAGACCAAAGAUAGUCCUUAUGAGGAAUUUUGGACUUGUAUGGUCCCCGUGGUUCCAAAUUGUUGCACGAAGAGUCCUUAUGACAUACUCCGUUUAAUUGUUGUCGUUUAUUUAAAUCACGUAACCCUCACACGAGGGUAUUUUGGUCUUUUGCUUAUCCCUUCUCUCUCUCAUAUCUUUAUAUGAUCUGCAAAAGAUUUCCCUUCCCUAUAAAAAUUAAACCCCCAUCACUUCCUUCAUUAUUUUUCGUCUCCUCUAUUCUCUCUUCUCUCUUCUCUCUGCUGUGUCUUUCUAAGAAACUUUGCUUAAGAAUGGUAAAUUGUUUUUGUGGAACGCAAGCGGUGAUAGUGACAUCAUGGAUGGAUCUCAACCCAGGUUGUAUGUUUUGGAAAUGUCCUAGCAGUUGCGGUUUCAUUGCCUGGUUUGAUGAGCCGAUGUGUCGAAGGGUUGUGGCUGUCAUUCCAGGUUUGCUAAGAUCCAUGAACAAGCUUCAAGAAUCUCUGCUGCAAGCAAGUUUUGAAGCAAAAAAAGUGAAGAUGAUGCUAGUUUUUAGUUGGGUUUUCUUUUUCAUGUAUGUGUAUAAAAGAUGCUAAUAGUAUUAGUCUGGAGAUGAUGGUUCUUUUGCUUGUGGGUAGAUGAUGGUUCUUUUGCUUGUGGUUAGAAUCAGAUAAUAGUAUUAAUUUGAAGAUGAUUUCGUUUUGUUUGUUUGUGAUGCAAGAAAUGUUCGUAUGUAUGAAUGGAAUGCUUUUUAUUUGGGAAACUUUUAGUCUGCUACCAUUGUAAAAUAUUGGUCAGGAACUUAAUGAGUGUAAAAUAUUGGUCUGCAACUUAAUGAACCGUGCAGAUCCAUUAAAGUAUAAAAUAUGAAAGUGAAAGGUUUUUGUAGGCUUUAGACCAUUGUAGAGCCAUAACAACAUUAGAAAUGUUCAAAAAUAAAAUGCAAACUUUUGCAUAGUCAUAAAGUUCAUUACAUAACCUUAAAGUGCAAAGUCAUAAUACCAAAAAAAUAUCAAAAGAGCUUGCAGACUAAUGUAUCAUAACCAAAAGAACCAUCUUAGUCUAGCACCCUGUGUGAACCAUAAUACCAACAAAAGAUAAAGACACACAAUAACCAACUUAGUCUGACCUUUCUAAGGUACCAAAACAAACAACACAAAAGACCUUUCUAAGGUUCCAUAACAAACAACACAAAAGACAACAAAUCAAACUUUUUCCUUCAUUUUGGAUUUAUCCUUAAGUUUGGUUUUCUCCUUCAUUUUGGGUUUCUCCUUUUUUCCAUCUCCCUGCUUCUUUGCCUUGCUAAGCUUCUUGCCCCCUGCCACCACAUUUCUAACUUCAGUUUGUCCCCCUUGUCCCUUGCAACUCCUAGAGUUGUGACCCUUGUUAUUGCAUUUGCUACAAGUAACUGUAAGGAACUUCUUGGUCAAACUUUUACCUUGAUUAUUUGGUUCUUCAGUUUGAGCUCUCUUUCUCUUCUUUUUUGGUCUCCCCACCUGCAUAAUUAAUAAAUUAUAAAACAGUAUAAACGUAUACUAACUUGUAAAUUGAAAAUUAUUUACCUGUUUAGUAUGCUUAGGAGGUGUUAGUGUUAUGGGGAAAUCUGACUUUGGCCACAUACUUCUUCCAUUGAUAGGUUGAACUUUGUACUUGUACAUUUCAUUCCAUGUGCUUAACCUAUAACAUGGAUGUACCCACUCCUCAAGAGGUGGGACAUUUUUUCCCAGUGCCUGCAACUACAAUUCCUGUCCCUCCAAUUAACCACAAAUUGUUCCCCCAUUGUCCCAGUAACUUGAGUCUUAUCAGCACCAUUAAAUAUGCAAGUGUAUUGAGAAGCAUCUUUCUUAACUCCAUCUAAAAGUUUUGUGGCUGGGGGGGGGAGAGGGGCNUUAUCUAUCACAUUUUGCACAAUACAAAUUCGUUUCAUUAAGUAUUCCCUAAUAUAUUCUAAACAUGUAAUUAUAGGUUUGUCUCGAGCAUCUAACAACUUUGAGAUGAAAACUUCACAUAAAUUAUUCAACAAAAUAUCUGUAUGUGCUCUUCCUGUACAAUGCAACAAAAUAUCUUAUAAGAAUCUGUCAAAGUGUAAAUCUUCCUUGAAUCUGUCAAAGUGUCUAACUGUUGUUGCUGUUGCACAUUCCCAUAAAUGAUCUCUGUGCUCCUUCCCCCUCCAUUGUAGCUUCAUGUUUUCGUGAAUAUGUCUUAAACAGAACCUGUGUUCAGCGCUAGGUAAUAGGUUGGCAAUGGCAGAUAAAAUCCCCUAAUUAACAAGUAACAAAAAUGUUAUUUUCUAAAUGUAGUAGACAAAAUUACAAAGAUGUCAUGAACAAGUAUCAUAAGAAGAUUAACCUUUUGCCUGUCAGAAAUAAAUGUGAAGUUUGAAUUUGUAGAGAGCUCCAAAUCUUCACCUAGACACUCUAGAAACCAACUCCAUGAGCUUUUGUUCUCGGCUUCAACUAUGGCAUAUGCUAGUGGGUAGAUCCGAUUAUUGGAAUCAAGACCCACAACAGUGAGAACCUAUCCAGUGUAAGGUCCCUUCAUGAAAGCCCCAUCGAAACCUAAAAAAUCUCUUAAACCUGCCUUAAAACCCAGUUUUAAUGCACCUAAACAGACAUAAAUUCUCUUAAACAUCCUAGUUUCCAAGUCUGCAUUUGGUUCACUGUAUACAUCAAUCUUCACAAUUGUUCCUGGGUUGCACUGUUGUAAUUCUAAUACGUAAUCCCUGAGAAGGCUGUAUUGCUUUUGAUAAUCUCCAUAAACAUGUUUCUGUGCAAGUUGUUUAGCCCUAAAGACCUUCAUUCUUGACAUCCCCACCUCGUAUAUCUUUUGUAACUCUACACACAAAGCUUUGACUGGGAUAGUUGGGUUUCCUUCCACUUCUUGAAGAAUGAUGGUUGUAAGAAACUUAGGCCUCAUUUGAUAGUUGCCGAUUGAGAAAGUGCUGACUGAGAAAGGUCUGUCUGGGUAAGAAAUCCUGAUUGGGUAAGAAAUCCUGUUGUUUGAUUGUACAUCUGACUGAAUGUGCUGAGUGAUGAAAAAUGACCAUUUUACCCUGCUGUUAUAUAUAUAUAUUGAUGGAUUAAAUUGCUGAAUAAUUAUAAAAACAUACAUAUUGUCAUACAAAAUGUAAAUUACACACAAAUAAAAAAUGUCAUACAAAAUGUAAAUUAAACAUAAAUCAUUUAAUAUCCAAAUAAAAACAUAAUGAAAUUUAAAAUAACAUAAUAAUUUAAUGUAAAGUAGGUGAAAGUAGUCGAUUUGCAAUCUGAUCACGCAAAACACGCAUAUAUUCAACGGCUUCUGGACCCCAUUCUAUGCCUUGUAUGUUUUCUCUAUCAAUUCCCCCACCUUGGACGUCAGGAGUAACCAUAGUGUCCUCCUCAAAAUUUCUAAACAAGUCAUCUUCUAUAUUGUAUUUCCUUAUAAAAUUAUGGACCGCGACACAAGCAAUGACUAUGUCUCUUUGCACUGUAAAAGGAUAAGGAGCCAUUUGUUUUAAGAUUGGGAAUCUCGCCUUCAAUACACCAUAAGCACGCUCAAUAACAUUUCUAAGUUGUGCAUGAGCAUGAUUGAACCUUUCUUCUCUAGUUAAAGGUCUGCCUCUUCGAAAAUCGGCUAACCAAUACCUAGUAUUGCGGUAUGGAGCCAUAAACCCACGAGUGUUUGUAUAUGCGGCAUCACAAAGGUAAUAUUUAUCUGCAAACGAAUGUGACAUAUUAUAUAAUGACACAUAUUAUAUAAAGAAGAUAGAUAAUAAAAAUUAUAUAAAGAUUACAAACCUGGUGGAGGAAAUGGAAAUCCAGAAGUCGAAUUGAAUGCAACUUCUUUCAAAACUCUUGAAUCAUGUGCUAUACCCUCCCAUCCAGCCCAAACAAAGGUGAAUAUCAUAUCAAAAUCACAAAUUCCUAUUACAUUUUGAAAACAUUCUCCUUUUCCUCUUCCUCAAUAACGAGUUUGUUGAUCAACAGGUACAACCGCACGUACAAGAGUUCCAUCUAAUGCACCAAUUGCUCCGGAAAAAAUAUUUUUUAACCGUCUAUGUCGUUCUGAGUUAUGUCUUGUUGGGUUAGGAGUUGUUGGUACUAUAAUUUCUUUUGCAAAACACAUCAUUGCUGUUAGGACCUCGUGAAAACAUUGAUGAAUCGUUUGUGUGGAGUGAUGAAAUCUUCCCUUAACCGCGCGAAAACGUUCAUUAUGUCCUAUAACAUGUAAGAAGAUAGCCAUCUUCUCUUCAAUGCUUAUUGUCCUACUAGCUUGCAACCAAUUUUUUUGGGUAAAAUGGUUGCAUAGUAAUGCAAAUGCCUCUUGUGUAAGACGCAUCAUAUCGAAACAUUGUGUAGGGUCUCCGUAUAUCAAAUCUUAUGUAUACGCAUACCCGCUUGAAUCGUUAUCUCUAAUUCUAAGAAUUCUGAUUAGUCUGCGCCGGUUUGACCUCAACCAAUAAAACACAAGUAAAAGAAAAGCUACAACUUCACCAUCAGAAACCAUACUUGAUCUAUUACAAACAAUUAGGUAAUAUGUUAAAGUAAAAAAAAAAUCAUGCACCAAAAAAAUUAGUAAACAUCAUUAAAAGUAACAAAAGUCGUAUAACAAACGUUGUAUAACAAAAUACUAGUAAACAUCAUCCAAAAAAGUCAUCAAACUAUAUAACAGUAAACCAAAAAGUCAUCAAACAUAGGAUCCAAAAAACUAGUAAACAUCAUCCAAAAAAAGUCAUCAAACAUAGGAUCCAAAAAACUAGUAAACAUCAUAAAAAAAACUAGUAUCCAAACUUUUCUACCCGCACCUAUCAAAGGUAACUAUACUUCCUACCCGCACCCAUCACCCACGACUCACAACUACUAUGCGAAAGUCGUAACCAAACUUUUCGAACAUCAGCACUUUCACCAAAUAGCAAAAGAGCGGUCUUGUGUCUUUCAUCUUCUUCUCCCCAUUCCAUUUUGUUCAAUUUCUCCAUACACGCAUCAACAUCCUUAUCCAUUUCACUUUUUUCAAUUCUUUCAUUUUUUUUCCACUAAUAACCUUACAAUCUUGACAAUCUCCUCUUCAACUUCUAAUGCCCUUGCAUCUCUUUUUUUUCCACCAACUCUUUUGUUUCCACCAACUUCCUUAUUUUUGAACGCCCCGAAGAUUCUUCACUUGCACCUACGUGUUGUGUUGAGGUUUCCAUUAGAACAUCAUCAUCAAAAUCAUGGGGACUAAACUCUUCUACAGGACAAGGGAGUGUAGAAGAUGGCCCCCAACUUUGAGAUCCGGUUGAUGUCAACCCUUCAAAUAGUUGGGUGCAAAGAUCAGGGAACAAUAGGGGUUUAGUUUUCAAUGACAACACGAACUUGUUCAACUGUUUACAAUUUUUAUAAAUAUUAGUAUAUGUUAUAAAAAUAAUCAUAAUAGUAUUGAUUAAAAAAAUAAAUUUAAUCAAAUAGUAUAUGUUAUAAAAAUAAUCAUAAUAGUAUUGAUUAAAAAAAUAUUACCUUCCCCUCUUCUUUCCAUUGUUCAUCGGUCAAAUUAAAUUUAUUUUUUAUAGGAUCAUAUAUAUUGCCGGUUUUGUUUUUGAGUUUCACCCAAGCAACAUACUUUGAUUUGUAGUAGUCAAAGUGGUUUCUCAUUUGCUUCUGAUCAACCUCUUUACCGUGUUCGUUUAUCAAUUUUUCGCGUAUUGUCUUCCAUGAACUUGCCUUAAGCCCAGAACCCUCACGACCAUUAGUGGUUAGUUCAUGGAUACAUGCAUCAAGAAAAGUUUUGUCCUCACUCUCGUUCCAAACCAACAUCCUAAAACAUUAAUAUUUAAAGUAAUUUAUCAUAGUUUUUAUCAAGUUAAAGAACAAUUUUAAACAUAAAGCAAUUUUCAACCAAGGAAGUUAACAUCAUCCUAAAUUAUGAUUUGAUAACUUAUACACAAACAAUUUCAGAUGUCACAAAACAUCAAUAUUCAAGCUAACAAUUUCACAAAAGAUAACAAGCUAACAAUUAAGGUCAACAAUAUCAAAGCUAUAAAAUUAGAAAGAAAAAAAAAACAGCCCAAUUUUUGAUUUUAUAGCUUAUACUUUUGAUACUAAUACAAGCUCAAUAAUUGGAAGACAUGUGAUGUUGCAUGCAUUCCCCCUCUCGCCCACUCUUCAAGGAACAAUUGGAUUAUUAAAAAAGUUAGGUUACCAUUAAUCUUAUAAUAAUUAUUUAUUAUUAAUUUUACUUUUGUACUUUACACAUAAAAACACAACNAAAACCAAAAAAAUAAAAAAAAAAAAAAAAAAAAAAAAACAGCCCAAUUUUUGAUUUACAAACCUACUUGUAUUUUCCAAUUCACAUUCAAUUUCAAUUCACAAGCUAUAAAAUCAAAAUUCAAAAAAAAAACCUUCCAAUUCACUUUCAAUUUCAAUUCAUAAGCUAUAAAAUAUGAACCGGAGAAAAAAACUUCCAAUGUGAAUUGGAGAAAAAAACUUCAAAUUCAGAAAAAAAAACAAAAAAACAAAAACAAAAAACAACUACCAAUUCACAUUCUAUUUUAGAAUUCAUAACAUUAGAAAAAAAAACCUUCAAUUUUCAGUUCUUAUACACAAAGAACUACAAAACAAAACAUAAACAAACUUCCAAUUCACAUAUAAUUUCGAAAUUCAUAUAUUAGAACAAACAAUUUCAGAUUUCAGUUCUUGUACACAAAGAACUACAAAAAAGAACAAAAAAAGCUUAUCAUAUGAACAUACAGGUUGAGAAUUCAUAAUAUUCUAACAUAUACUAAUUUGAUUUCAUAAAGAACUACAAAUUUCAUACCAUCAAAGCAUAAAUGGUAUCUGAUUUUGAAAAUUAUUAACAGAAAAAUUAUCUAACCUGUGUGAUGGAUCGAGAAGGCGUCACUGAUGGCGGUGGCGGAGGUCCGACGAGAUGGCACAGGUCCGACUGGUCGGACUGUUUGGCGUUCAAUGUUGUGGAGUUCUUCCUAGCGGCUGCUGUGCUUUUAGGUCACUAGAAGGGAAGCGAAUGGGGAAAGAAAUAAUAACGACGCAGGGGCAAGAUAAGGGCAAGAUUGUCUAAUUUCCAGUCAGCAACUGUUUAAAAACUGAUCCAGAAAGCGAUUUGGGUCAGCAGAUCUUACCGAGAAAGCUCAAAUCAAACACCAAAGGUCUGACCGAGUCAGCCCAAUUUGCUGACUCGACCCAGUCAGACAUUUAUCAAACACUCCCUUAGAAGUGCACUCUUUAAUAGACCUUGACUGCACACAUCUAUGCUCAUGAACCAAAGUUUUCACCAUCCAAUCGCUUUCUUCAUCAGAUCUAGAAAUUAAUACCACCCAAGGGCAUGUUGCUUUUUGUGAGCUGACUGUUUUAUCCUUGCAUUUGAUUCUACUUUUUGUCCAUGGCCCACCUGUCAUUUUCGGGACCACACCCCUGCAUUUUGCCCUAAUUCUUUUUUUUUUAUCAUUUUUUGAAAAGUAAAUGUUUCUCCUAGUUCGAAUUGAAUGCAUUUUAAUGUAGUCCUUCACUUCUGAUGAGGACUUAAAUAUUUGACCCAGAUGGAAUGCAGUUUCAUGUACUACUCCUGAUGAACAUGUGGUUGGUUUGUUUAACCUUCUCAUUAAUUUCUUCCUCUCAUCUUCUUCUACACCAGUUGAUUCAAAUAAUUGUGUAUCUAUCACCUCCAAAUCCUCAUCAACUGUGACAUCAGGUGCAUUGAAUGAUUGGUGGUUAUCUAGAUUUGGAAAAGAAUAAACACCACUGUGGAAGUCUUUCAUAUUCACUUCGACAUCCUCCACCAUAUUAAGUUCAUCCACUAAAAAGUCACUAUCGUCGCUUAUACUUCCAUCGGUACUAGUCUCAUCACUAAUAACAUCUCCAAUUUCUUCAUUUUCCCCCAUCUGUUGGUAAUCAUUAUGAUCCAUAUAAAAGAAAGGAUCAAAGUCUUCUGAAGGGACAACAUCUUGGGCUUUGUUAAGCUCCUCACUUGCAGGAUGAACUCGAACAUCUUUCACUACAUCUCUAUCAAAAUGUCCAAAAGGUACAACAGACCUAGAAAAGUCAUAGUUCUCAUUCAAGUCCAUUUUUCUACUACAUGAUCCUACCUUUGUACUUGUAAACUUUUUUCGAUUGAGUUCCGGAGAAAUAGGCUCAUUGAUUUCUUCCGAUACGACCUUAUUUGGAGAUAUAAAGUAUGCAUGGAGUCUAGUAGUUCCAUGUUCAGUAUACACCAUAAUCUCUUUAUGAUUAGCAACAUGCUUACUUAACAAAAGUACGUCUGAGUUGUUACCUAAAGGAAGUAACCCAUAAUCGAUUUCAAUCUCAGGAAUCAAGAAGUGGUAGUAGAUAGGCUCACCGUUGAUAUAACCUAUCUCCUUCAUCAUAUCGUCUAACUCAUGUACGGAAAACACGUCCAUGUCUACGUAGUCAACAUAGUCAAUACUCCCACCAACGUAACGUCUUCCUGGGUAUUUUGUGAACAUACCCCCAUGGUGAAUCUUGAAUGUGCAAAAACUACUUAACUCAACUGAAAAACAAAUAAAUAAUGAUAUGAGGAAAGAAUGAAGUCUCAAAAUUGAAUGUGCAUAAAUUACUUAACAAAAUUGAAAGUUGUUAACUGAUCACUCACCAUAAGCUUUGAUCAGGUCAGGAUUUUCUGAGAAUUUUGAACGGACAUUCCACAAAGUUAGAACGAUCGCAAAAGAUGAAAAUGAAAACCCUAGUUUCCGUUUGAUGUUUUGAAGUGAUGAAGAUGAAAAACCAGAGGAGAAAAGAAAGGGAUGAUUUCUUGGGGUAAUGUAAAUGGCAGCUAGAUGUAAGGAUCAUUUAUGAAUAUGAUCAUUUCGUGUAACAAAGCAAAAGACCAAAAUACCCUCGUGUGAGGGUCACGUGAUUUAGAUAAACGGAAACAAUUAAACGGAGUAUGUCAUAAGGACUAUUCGUGCAACAAUUUGGAACCAUAGGGACCAUACUCGUCCAAAAUUCCUCAUAAGGACUAUCUUUGGUCUCUUGUGCCAACCACAGGGACCAUCUGUGUAAUUUUGUCUUUUUUUAAAGAUAGUUCAUAAUUUUUCUAUUAUAUACAUUGUAAAUGAAAUUGAGAACUUAAGUAGGUCCUAGGACCUACCUAAGCACAUGGUGGAUACGCCCCUGUUACCCACACUAACCUCAUACACUUACAACACAAAUGAACUUGAACGGUCUAAGACCAAACCAAGAUAUAAUAUGAAAUGUGUAAGUAUAGUUUAAUAGAUGAAAGUGAGGUGUUGUUUGGGCUUGAAAAGUAGGGGUGAGCAUGGUGCGAUUUUUUGAGAAAACCGAACCGCAAACCGCAAGAUGCGGUUUCUAUAGGGUAAAACCGAUAGGUGUGGUUUUUGUUUCGGCGUGGUUUUACAUGCAUUUUCGGUGUCAUUCGAUGCGGUUUCGGUUUUUAACUGAAAAUAUGUGUUGGUGUGAUUUUUCAUACAUGUGUUGAUCUACCAAAGAAGUAAUAACCCCUAAAGAAGCUAGAGCAAGGCCUAAUUGAAAAUGAAGCCAAUUAUUAAUUGUGUCAUAAAGACCCUCAUGCCCACGUCUCAAUCGCCCUCUUGGAGGGAUAUGUGCAUCUAAAAGAUCUUUCAUACUGUGCCCAAUCCCAAAAUUAGUUCUAUACAUAUGCCCAACAAUAAGAAAAAGAAAUGCAAUAGCUAAAUAAUGAUGAGUCAUAUCAGCAUGUCCAAACCCGACUUUUCAGUUAACUUUCCUUUAUUUCCGGUACAGAUUCUCAUUUAAAUGUAUUUAACAUGCUUGUGAAAUAGUUAUAUGUUAUUCUUAUCAAAAUAUAGACUUCUUUAUGAUAUUACGAUUUUGAGAUUUGAAUUAUAUGUUUGAUGCAACAAGGGAUUUGGUUUUAUAAUCUCAAAUUCCAUUACUUAAUCAUUAUUGUUUAUACAGAUAGAGGCGGCUUUUGAUUCGAAUUGCAUUUUGCUUGUGAUAAGCAAAAGGAAAAUUGUUAAUGGUACGCACUUUGAUACAAAUGUCAAAUUUUAUAAAAAUAUAGCAAAACAUAAGGCAUGCACAGUGGCAAAAAGAACUGAAGAGGUCGAAGUUGAACAAAAUAUACUUUUAUUAAUAAGUAUUAUAAUAUAUUAAAUAUUGUCAGGUUUUUAUGGUGCUGUUUGGCAUUGUCCAAACCGCACCACACCGAAAAAUUACCAAUUAAGGUUGGAUUGGAAUGCAUAAUUAUCAAUUUAUCCUUAAUAAGUCAUAAAUCAACAAAAAUGGCCCAACAAUUUUCUUAAUCUUAAUUGUUGCCUUUGGAUUAGAAAUCAUCAACGAUCAAGAUUGGUUCUCACAAUUCUCUAAUCUCUACUUUUAUGUUGUUUUCAUUUGAACUCAACCCAAAAAUCUCACCAGUAAUCACCACACGAACAAAUCCCGUUCUUGAAAUGAUGAAACCUAUUUGUAUCCCGAAGAAUAAUUUCCCGCUCAACAAUCUUGGAAAUAAGCUUAGCAGCAAUAUGACAAUCCUCACAAACACGUAGAUUUUUAGUAAUCCGUAUAGGCGUAAAAGCUUUAGUAUUUAUAAUCACAAACACAAUAGCAAGCUUCUCACUAUGAACAGCAAGAUGAUUUCCUUUAUCUUCAUCUUCUAUAUCAUGAAGUGCAGAAUCCACUUCAGGAACAUACCCAAAAUCCCUCAUCUUCCCCACAAGUACUUCCAACUCUUGAUAAAUCUGUUUAGAUUGUGGAUGGGAUUGAUCUCCAGCAAGAAACGAAUGAACUUGAUUAUUAAGCUCAACAUUACUAACACCGGGCUCUUUUUUCACUCCUUUUGAUUUCAUUAUUGAACGAAUAUUUGUCACAUCUUUAAAUCUACCUGCUUUUGCGUAUAUAUUUGAUAAUAAAACAUAAUACCCUGCUUGUUCAGGGACCAAUUCAAAGAGAUGAUCUGCUGCUACAAGACCAAUUUCCAUGUUGGAAUGAACUUUACAAGCACUUAACAAAGCACCCCAGAUUCUAUCGUUUGGUUUUGUUUUCAUUUUCUUUAUAAAAUCAUAAGCUUCAUUGAUUCUUCCUGAUCUUCCUAGCAAAUCAACCAUGCACGCCAAGUGUUCGAGUCUUGGAAUGAUGUUAUACUCUUCGGUCAUCAAUUUGAAGAAAUGUUUUCCUUGGUUUAGUAAUCCGGCAUGGCUGCAGGCUGAUAGAACUGGAACGAAGGAAAUGGAAUCAGGGGCGAUUCCGGAAUUUUGCAUAUUUGAAAAGACUGUGAUAGCAGUUUCACCAUCUCCAGUCAUGCCAUAAGCAGAGACCAUGGAAGUCCAGGAGACGACAUCUCUUGUUGGCAUUUCAUCGAACACCUUGCGUGCUUCGUUUAAAGACCCACAUUUAGCAUACAUGUCAAUCAAGGCGUUCUCUACUGUUAGAUUAGGAAGAAGCCUUUUUGUUUUUACAUAUGAAUGAAUCUUUCUUCCUAGUAAUAAAGCUGAAAGAUCUCCACAAGCGGGUAGGAUGCUAGCAACUGUGAUUGAAUCCGGGUCGAUUCCGUAAUUCUCCAUUUGUUGAUAAAGAUUAACUGCAUCUUUAGGCAUCGAGUUGUUGACGUACACAGCUAUCAUGACAUUCCAAGAAAUUAAACUCUCUCGAGCGUGAUUCAUGAACAUUUCUUUCAUAAACAUCACGUUGGUAGAUGAAGUAGAAGUUGUUAAAGCAGGGGAAAGGCUGGCCAUGGUGCCUGCGUUGGGUUUUGAGGUAGAACAUUGCAUCAUUGUCUUACAAAUCUCCAAUGCAUCUUCAAACAUCCGGUUUUGGGCGUAGGCAGCAACCAUAGCAUUCCAGGAGACGAUAUCUCUACUAGGCAUUUCAUCAAACACCUGGCGUCCUUCCAGUAACCGGUUACAUUUUCCAUACAUUGUAAUCAAUCCAUUCCCUACAUAAAGAUUUGAAUGCAGACCCUUCUUGAGAACAGCAACAUGGGUUUGUAAUCCGACCCACAAAUUCUCAGACACGGAACAUGCUUUUAGAACUUGAGGAACUGUAAAAUGAUCAGGGUUAAUGUUGAACUUGAACAUGUUUCUGUACAUACGAAGUGCUUUUUCGUAGAAUUCAUUGUUUACGUAGCUUCUAAUCAUCACAUUGAAGAAGACUACAUCUUUUUGAGGAAAUUCAUCAAACAGUUGGCGGGUAACUGCGAUUUGGCGACAUUCAGAAUAAGCUUUCAUUAAUUUCAGAGCAAUAUGCGAUGCUGAGACGAGGUUUCCAUCAAUAAUUAACCUACAAUGUAUCUUUUUCAAUUGUUUGAUAUCUGGGCACUUGUCCAAGAUUUUGAUACACAAGUCUUCUGUGAUUAACAUGAUUGUUAAGGCGAGAUUUGAAUGAAUUUGAACUUAUAUUCCUUUCGCCAUGUUGUACCUGAGGGGCAAUCAAAUAGAAUGGACGAAGAUAACGAAGGUUUACUUGGUGGUGUUCACUUAAAAACAAGAAAUAUGAAGUUCUAAACGCUAUUUCUUGUUAAACAGAAAAUAUUUUGUCCAAUCUAAAAAUCCAAUUUUUGAGUAAGUUCAAGCUUAAGCUCAAAAAUAGUAAGCAAAACAUGUUUAAAAAAUAAAAGUUCGUUUGAAACUCUUUGGAUAGCUCGAGUAUAACAAUCAUCAUAAUUAUAGUCAAUAAAUCAGGCUCAAACAACCAAACUUGAUGUCCAGCCCUUGAUCAUCCAAUUGCCAACUGAAAUCAACUUAGUUUCCGGUUUUAGAAUCGCCCUAACAUUACAUAAGCACCAACUAGUUCCAAAAGUAGUUUUUAAUUCAAUGUCUCCCAUACCCGUGACUUCAAGGGUUUCCAUGUUACCCAACCUUACCAACUUAAGAUAAGUUCUUUACUUCAAUUACUAUAACAGAUCGAUGAGUCAUGUUCUAAUGACCUCUCGUCAUAUGAUGCAAUGCUUAGACUCGAGUCUUUUAAAGUCAAAUUCUAUAAUGAAAUAUACAUUCCUUCAAGUUUCUAAUGUGAUAUAAUCACAUUCUAGCAUGUAUCACUUCUAGCUACAAGCUUCUUACUUUAACAACAAUCACAAUACUUCUAUUGAUCGCUUUGAUUAUCUUUCAGUUCAAUCUUCUGGCUUAAGUCAGAUGCUACAUCGAUCUUGGUUCUCUGAACCACGUACAAUACUUAUCCUAGCUGUAAUCGAUUUGAUAUGACCACUAGGGUCGGAAUAACAAUCAUCUUCUUAGUCAUUACCGAAAUUAUGGUAAUGACACAUGAACAAAACAGAAUCAAUUACUAGCGUCUUGGUAACUCGUGACUUUCCCUGAUCCAAGUGCGAGUCGUGUGCUUCCAGUAGUAUAUGCCUCUACUACCUUUCACACCUACUCAUACUUGUCCCAAGUAUUGUCUUUCAGUUCUCCAAGUCACCAUAAAAGAAUUUCACAUAGUCAUUUAACACAUCGAAUAACAAAACUAAGGUUUAUAUUAUUUCUUGAAACGAUUACAUAGAUAUUCAAGUUCACCUUAUACCAUGCCUUUUAUAUUAGGCUACACCACAUGAUACUAUCUAUAUGGCUACUUUAUAUCUCGAUCUUCAGAUAUAUAUAGAUCCCUACUCCUAAUCCCUUGUAUCGUCACCUGCUUCAUCCAGGUUAGACUUCGAGAAUCUUCCUUUCUUAUCGAAUCUUGAGGAUCCCUCAAGCUUCUUCUUUUCUCAUGCCUUGUCUUAUUCCAGACCCUUUUUCCUAAAUUAGGUUUCCAUAUUCUUGGUUGCUCUAACGGUUGUCUUCAAAGUAGUUGCCAUUUUUACCAUUGCGCCAAAUUAUGCUGGCAAUCCGUUAGCAAAACUAUCUAUCUUGGAGAGUUCAGUAGCACCAAGUAGGGGAAUAACUUCAUCUGCUCGGUGAAUACGGUGACAUACUCAUCAACACUCAUCUUCCUUUUCUUCAAGUUCGAAACUCGUUGUUUAGGUCUAUCAGAUCUAUCUCUGAGCAGUAUUGCAUUUUCAACUGCUCCAUGAAUGCUUCCCACCUCAGGGCUUCUCCCCCAUGGCUUUGUAUCUGCCAAUAACUUCCACCAACUUAAAACUCUGGUCUUUAGUUGUCUGACUGUAAAGACGGUUUUCUGCUUGUUGCUGCAAUUGCAACUUUCAAAUGUCAUCUCUAUCUCGGAGAUCCAAUCCAUGAUCUCUACUGGCUUCGGGCUUCCAGAAAGACUUGGUGGUUUGGCACCUAAGAAGUUCUUAUACAUACGUUCAUCCUUAUCAAUCGCUUUUUUCGGGUCGUUCCUCCUUGCCACUCGGGGUUCAGCUUGACUCACUGUACGACUGUAAUUUCCCUCCUCCGACAAUUCUUCAUUCAGUUCGGGUUGCACGAUAGGCACAAUAGGUUCAUCCCUAUUAUCAAGAAACAUUUUUCUCAUCUCCUCCCUUUGUUCGGCCAUCAUAGCCCAAAUCAUUGCUUAGACUCUUGCCAUCGUGAUUGGCUCGGGUGCAGCUACUACCUCUGGUGCACAUUUAAUCACUCGUGGUUCAGGCUGUUAGUUUUCAUUAGCAUUUUCUAAUAUGUUGCGAGUUCUCACCAUUUCGAUCUAUACACUCUAGAGAUGUUCAGUGUACAGUGACGAGAAUUAAGAUAUGGAAAGCUUUAUUUACGACAGCCAUAUAAAUCUUCUUAUCACUCGUAAAAGUUAUAUACUAGUUCUAAUACCGUAAUUAAAUGUUUGGAAAUUUUGAGCAAAUGACGGUUCAUCAACAAUAGAGCGAAUCUCAUUUAGGAAUUCGUUGAUAGGUCGAUUUCCUUUAGGAUUUUUAGCAAGUUUGGAUUUUAAAGAGAUGAUUCUUGAGCAGGAGGUGCUGGCAUAGCUUGUGUUGAGAUGCUUUCAUGCUUCUUUUGUGGUAAAUACAGAGGUAAUGAUAGGUUGAAUGAAUUGCAUCUGAGCAUGAACCAAGAAUUGCAUCGAAUACUACAUGAUCUUGGCGAUAGCAAGUCGUGUAUUCAUGAUUAGGUUUGGAUUUGUCUUUGUCGAUAAUGAAUUUUGUGGUAGGAUCAGUCACCCAUGUGAUGUAAUCUUCCAGACCUAGUCCAAUAAAUGUGGACUGCACUUGUCGCCUCCAUACAUGGAAGUUGUUGGUGAGUAAUUUGGUAGGAAAGUGACUUGAGGCGGUGAUUUGUAUUUGGGAUGAUUGUGUCAUGGUGAUGUUGAUGAAAAGGAUUAGAGGAGAAAGGCAAGAUGAUCGAUUGACUCUUUAGAGUGUGUGUGCUCUGAUACGAUAUGAGAUUUGAGAAUCAAUGGGCUCGAAUGAAUAAUUUCAUUUACAAAGAUCGAUACAUAUAUAGAUGGUAACGAGAGUUAAAGAGCUAUACAUGGAAUUUACUAAGAAUAGAUUGCAAUUACAUACAAAUAGAAGAGAUUAUUGUAGAUUAGUCAUGAAGAUGUGUACGAUGUUAUAGUUAGAUUGCUUAUUUGCAAUCCAUGUUAGCUAAGUAUGUCAUGUUGAAUACAAAUUGUAUUAAAACAUUAAAGUUCCAACCAUUAUAUGUUGAAGAAGAAGCAAAUACGCCUUAGUCACACCCAUUCUAAAUGAUAUGGAUGUUAUGGUUGUCGUUUCUAUGCAACCAAAUCGUGAUUCCAAGUUGCAGUUGUCUUACCAAUAUAUCAUGUUAGGAAAAGAUGACAUAGCAUGAAAUAUUGUAUGUUACAACAAAAAGAUAUAUCUUAUAGAUGUCUUGCACAUGGGUUAUUCCUUUUUAAGCACUUAUAUAAAAAUAAUAUCACGUAUGUAUGAUAUCUAUUUUGAGAGAUUUUUAGCAAGCAACUCUUUGUCUAUUAUUGUUAUUGGAUAGAAAAAGUAUCAUCUUCGUUGGGAAGAUUUUACUAGGAUUAGAUUCAUAAUAGUUUGUCAAAGAUUUUACUAUUAUGUAUUUAUAAACCCAUGAAGUUUUCUAUUAAAUAAAUAAAUAAAUAACCAUUCACCAUUUAUAUCUUUUUGGAAUAGAGUUUGUUAAAUUCUAAUAUAAAUAAAAAGAGUAUUUAUUUAGAUUCACACAUUACAAAAUUACAAACUCCAAGCAUAAAUCCGAAACUUAUUUUUAAACUUCUUCAUUUAUAUUACAAGUUUUAUUCUUUUUUCCCAACCCACUUGGGGUUUCGAAACCCUAAAAAAGUUCUAUCCAUGGAAGUUCAUAUUUAUUUCUUAUCUUAAUGAAUUUAAGGUCUAAAUCAAUAAAUGGCAAUGUAGAAUUAACCGCAUAUAUUAAGUUAUUUUUGGAAGCUUUCCAACACAACACAGAAAGGAAAUGAUGAGAAUUUAUGGUACCAAAUAACAAAAUAAUCCCGGUUCCUAUAAAAAUUUAUUAAAGCUCUACUCAUGAUUUCAUAAUCUCCUCUAAUAUGAGGGUUACGUUAUUGUAAUAAUAACUAUGAUAAUGUAAAAGCCAUAACAUAAAUCGUCUUAAUUUAAGAAAUAAUAUAAAUCCCAAGAUAUUGUUUUUAAAAUAAAAAGGAAAAAAGUGGGAGUCCAUUAGAAGGAGCCAAGCUGAUUAUUUGAGCCAAGAGAGCACCGAUUUGUUAUCCUUCCACUGUUCGAAGCGAGAGGUUAUCGCAGCUCUGUGAAGCCAGCCUAACGCAUUGCCCUCUGCUCUAGGAACCAAGAAGCCCAAGCCUUCGCUCAAGCCACUUGAUCCAACUCCGAACUUGGAACGGGCAAACCAGAUUUUGCAACAGCUUUGACCCAACCAAACAAGGCUCGAUCUCAGUCCAUCCCACUUUAGAGCCCUCACUUGAGUCACAAGCUCGCGUUACCAAGCUCGGCGAUAAACGAAGUCCAUUUGAUGUAUAAAUAAUCGGAAAAACUUUCUCCUCCAAGCGAUGUGGGAUGCGAAACGAAAUAUUUUCAUCUUCAUUCUCUCUUUAUCUCUGUCAAAUACUGUGAUUACUGAUUACUGACUACUUAAACACCCAUGCAACGGAUUUCAAGUAUUUUUUUCAAUCCAUGGAUUUAGAACUGUAAACU
Molecule: long non-coding RNA, 51696 nt
Filed under: Lactuca sativa (garden lettuce)
Lineage: Eukaryota; Viridiplantae; Streptophyta; Magnoliopsida; Asterales; Asteraceae
Description: long non-coding RNA (LSAT_LNC000191)
Source: RNAcentral